RNAcentral lists this long non-coding RNA (50535 nucleotides) under Sorghum bicolor (sorghum). RNAcentral's name for it is "long non-coding RNA (SBIC_LNC016104)". The stretch from base 21032 to 21138 matches the Rfam family "Plant small nucleolar RNA R71". Lineage: Eukaryota; Viridiplantae; Streptophyta; Magnoliopsida; Poales; Poaceae. The record is from RNAcentral.
AGUAGCUGUGGACUACGUGUCUAAAUGGGUAGAAGCCCUACCUUGUCGAUCAGCUGAUUCAAAACAUGCCAAGAGAAUGUUUCAUGAAGUAAUCUUUCCUCGCUUUGGUAUACCCCGGAUAGUUAUAAGCGAUGGAGGUUCCCACUUCAUCGACAAAAUCUUCCGGAAAUACCUAGCCGAUCAUGGAGUUCGACACAACGUCGCAACACCAUACCAUCCUCAGACUAGCGGUCAAGCCGAAACAUCUAACAAACAAAUCAAAAAUAUUUUACAAAAGACCGUAGAUGAGAUGGGUAAGGGGUGGAAGGAAAAACUUCCUGAUGCACUUUGGGCAUAUAGAACUGCAUUCAAAACACCCAUAGGCAUGUCACCUUAUCAACUUGUAUAUGGAAAAACUUGUCACUUGCCUGUGGAAGUAGAGUUUAAGGCUCAUUGGGCACUCAAGAAAUGGAACAUGGAUCACCACCUUGCUAGCGAGAAUCGUCUGAUGCAACUAUCUGAGCUAGAAGAAUGGAGAGAGAAAGCCUACCACAAUUCAAGGAUCUAUAAAGAGAGAACAAAACGAUGGCAUGAUAAGAGAAUCAAGCACAAGGAGUUUAAGCCUGGAGAUAAGGUUCUACUAUUCAAUUCAAGAGUUAAGCUCUUUGGGCAUGGUAAGCUACGAAGUAAGUGGGAUGGACCAUACAAGGUUAUUGACACUUCAACACAUGGAGCCAUUACCAUCCAAGACGACAUAGGUAACACUUUUAAGGUAAAUGGUCAACGCUUGAAAAUCUAUCUUGAGCCUCAAAACAACCGGGUAGAGGAACUUGAUGUGAUUGAGUUCAUAGAAUUCUCACAUUAAGCUCUCAUAAGCUCUAGACAAUUACCUAACCCUUAACAUGUUCCACAAGUUUUGUUGUCUAUUUGGGUUGUGCAGGAUUUUGAGGCUUAAGAAGAGUGAGACCGAACAUGCAGGCCAUAAGAGUGAUCGACUAUGUCAACAUCCAGCUUGGGGGAGGCACUCCCACGUGUAUCUAGAUAAGUAUUACUUUUCUUUCUUGGUUUUAUUUACUAGUAUUUGGAAAUAAAUUUAAAAAAAUGCAUAACCAUGAAACCAAACAAAGUUUUUCUUUUGAGUAAUAUACAAUAGUUUUGUGUAAUACUAAGUUUUAAAUAAAAUAAAAAGAAAGUUUGAUUCAAGUCUAGGUAAUUGACAAACAUGAUAUGAGAAGGUCUGAGCUACUAUUUAACUUGUUCCAAGUUUUGCUAGAGUUCUGGAGAUUUUAUCUUUUGAAAAUCUAAAAAUUCAUAAAAAAAAUAUAUGAGAUCAUAAUACCUAGAGUCUUAUAAGAUAUAAAUAUUAAAAUUGUGGGCACUUGCUAUGUUCAAGCCAUUGUUAAUUCUUGUAGUUUUGGUUGAGAGAAUUAUCAUGCUCCCAAGAUCAAGAUCUUUUUGUUUUAAAAUAUAAAAGAUUCACUCUUCCGAAGUAUUAUUGCGUUAGAGGCAUGGGACUAUGCAAAAAUUUGAUUCGAAAAAAAAAGAGUGAGACGAGAGGUAAAAAUGGACAAGUGUCCGAAGUAGAAUUAGGGGUACAAAGAUACCCACCUGAGUGGAAAAAAAUGGACAUGUGUCCGACAGUAGGAUUAGGGGUACUUGCUGCCCACUUGAAAAAAAAGAAGACUGAAAAAAAGAGAAAAAGGAAAAAAAAGGAGAAAAAAAAAUGAUAGCCCAUGGUCCCUCUAAUAAGCAAUAUGCCAGUAAGAGAUGACAAACUUUUCAAAAAGGUCAAAGGUCUUGAUCUAAGAGUAUGACAUUCCUCUCCCUUGCCGAGCAUUGACAUAGCAAAAUGCAAAUUAUGUAUGCUAAAACUUUUAAAGCUCUACUUAUAUAUAUCUUUCGAGAAGAAGGCAAUGCCUCAGUUUCAUUUUGCAGACUUAUAAAAAAACUCCAGAACAAAGGUAAGACAGAAGAACUUGAGACAUAGUGCUUGACUUGAUCAUUCUGUUUUUCAAUCACUUAAGACCUUAGUGAUAACUUAAAAACCAUAUAGUAAGAGGCAUAAAAGUAACCCCUGUUUUCUUGUUGAUUUUAGCUUUGCUCAGGGACGAGCAAAGGUUAAGCUUGGGGGAGCUUGUUGACGGUCCUUAAUGCUCACAUUUAACCAUCAACUAAUCAUGGAAAAGGAUCCAAAUGCAACCAACACCUAGACUUAGGGUUUUAUCUGACAGAAUUCCACGAGUUUUGGUAUUUGUCUAUUUCUGUAGGGCGUUAUCAGGAAUUAUGGAAGAAAGGCCCACACGUCGGGUUUACAUAGAGAUAUUAACGUGCCGCGCAAUUUUCUACCAUCUAGAAGACUCCAGAAGCCACGGGAACGAACGGGAGGCCGAUCGGGCUCGGAGGCAGGGUGCCCGCCCAACUCUCCUGGGCGCCCGCCCAGCUACAGUGUCCAAUUCGGACCCGUUUCGCGUCUUAUGCUCCACCGACCUAAUACUUCAAGGAAAACCACACGAUCAAUGUCGGUUUGAUCCGACGGCCCAGAUUCACUUGAAGGGACUAUAAAACCAGACCCCCCUGGCCCCUGGAGAUCAUACCUCUUCUACAGAAUCAAAGCUAGGGUUUCAAUUCUUCAUCCAAGCAGAGAGGAUCCCUCUAGUUCUUCUAGUUCUACCUCUAGUUCAUCUAGAUCUAGUUCUAGUUCAUCUAGUUCUAGUUCUAGUUCCUCUAGUUCUAGUUCUAGUUAGUUCUAGUUGUAAUCUAGAAAAUAGGGAGAGAGAAGAGGAGAGCGGAGGAGGAGGAGCCGGAUCUGUCGGAUCUUCUUCAACAUUGUACUUUUGCAGCAACUGGUUCGUUCUUCAUCGUUCUCCAGGUUCUUCAAUUCAUAAUCCUGAGUUCUUUAAUUACUUUUCUUAACAUUCAAGUUAUUUAUUGGAUUCCCGCUUGCAUCAAGUGCUCUAAUCUUUGCAACAUUAGGGUAGUAAUUAAUAGAUUAGACGUGGUGUUUAGUCUUGCAAUUACCUGGAAUUGCACCCAAUCCUGCGGAUUGUUGUGGUAGCCCUAGGGUAGUGACAGCCCUAACGGUCGACGUAUUCCACCUCGUUCGGAUCGGUGUUUGUAGGACCGUAGUCAGACCUUCCUAGCCCCCUUCUCAUCUCUUUCUGUGGUUAGUGCUCUGAUGUCCCGAUAUAGAUAAUCUUGAAGUAAUUCUUGAUUCUUAGAUCAACUAGAGAACUCUCAGGAAACUUCCUCUCUUCCCACCAAAAAUAGUUAUAUAGUUAUCCUGGGGUGAUCUUGGAUCUUAAUUAGUACACUCACGUUCCCUGUGGAAAAUCGAUACUCUGGAAUACUCCCGGGUGAAGGCUACAUCGGUAUCCGUGCGCUUGCGGAUUUUUUCUGUUUGCGUUUAAAAUACCCAACACAUACUUAGCAAUCAUUGUGAGACAAGACUACGCCCAUGCAUAGUGAUAUUAGCAAGGUAAAUGAGAAACAUAGCAAUCACUCCCCUAUAAUAAUAUUGCUCUGCCAGCCCAAUACACGAGAGGGGGACUAUAUAAGAAUCAAUGAAGCUGUCACUAUCACGAACUACCCCACGAUCUGGCAUAUUGGCUACAAUCGCAGAUAAAUACGGUAUAAGCACCACGCCUACACAAUAUCUAUCAUUUACCCAUAGAUCCGAUGGAUAAACGCUAUACGAUCCUAAGCAUGUAUAUAGAUCCAAUCUAACUAAGCCAAGUACAUAACUAUGAUAAACUAAGAACAAUAUAAUCUUGAAUAUAUGCAAGUAGAGCAAAGUCAUAAGCAAUAUAUUGAAGUAGAACAAAGUCAUAUUCAUAAUAUUGAAGAACAAAGAUAAUUAGAAAGUAAUUAGAAGCACAAUUAGAGAAUUACCAAGAAUCCUCCUGACAGAUCCGGAAACCAAUCGAAGAUUGACUCCUUCUAGUUCUAAUCCUAUGUAGCUAUGCUAAUCUAGAUAUCUAAUUGAUGUGGUGGCUCUAAUCUUGAUCAGAGGCUUCUUCUCCCUUGAGUAACAAUGAAUUAGGGUUGAGAGGCUCUCUCCUCCAGGGGCCAGGGGGUCUCGUUUUAUAGUCCCUUCAAGUGAAUAUGGGCCGUUGGAUCAAACCGACAUAGAUUGUAUGGUUUAGAUUCAUCCUUUAGGUCGGUGGAGAUCUCCCACGAAGCAGAGUCCUGAUUGGACUCAGGGAGAGGGCGGGCGCCCAGGGGAACAGGGCGGGCGCCCUGCCUCUGGCCCCGUUUCGCCUCCGCUUCGGUCUCGUGGCUUCUGGAGUCUUUUAGAUGUAAGAUAAUUGCGCGGCACGUUAAUAUCUCUAUGUAAUCCCGACGUGUGGGCCUUUCUUCCGUAUUUCCUGAUAACCCCCUGCAGAAAUAGACAAACACCAAAACUCGUGGAAUUCUGUCACAUAAAACCCUAAGUCUAGAUGUUGAUUUCAUUUGGAUCCUUUUCUUUGUUUAUUUAAUAAUUAAAUUUGAUACUUAAGGACCGUCAACAAACUCCCCCAAGCUUACCUCUUGCUCGUCCCUGAGCAAGGACAGACUCAGCUAUGGAUCAUAAGUUGUUGCAAUAUUUUAAAAAAUUGACGGUACACAUGCUUUUUAAAUAAUAUCUCAUCUCUGAGUUAGAGUAAACUGUCAAGACUUAAAACUUACUUACUUUACCUUUCACCAUGGGACUUGUAACUGUUACUUCUGUCUUGAGUGGUUAAAAGAUAGAACAGUCUAGCCAAGUGCCGUGUCUCUUAUUCUUGAUUAGCUAUAGUUCUGGGGUUUUUGCAGAUUUUCAAAUAAAACUCAGAGAUUCCUUGUAUGACUCUCUCAAAUCUCUCCUUUGUGGUAUUUCUGGAUCCUUACCAAGGCAGUGAUGGUAUAUGCCUUCUCUCAAAAAUAUGUAGUAUUUGUGGUAUAAGGCAUAGUGGCAUUGCCUUCUCUCUCACCCUACUCUAAUAAGGCUUUAAUAUCUAGAGCUCAUAGGUGGGAGAUAAAAUAUACAUACUUACAAGACAUUUAUUGCAUAGUCAAACCAUGGAUCCAAAGAAACAAAUCAAUAAGUCGAAUCAAGAUGUGCAUGUGUGGCGAAUGAAUGGUGUAUGGUGAUGAUGGUGAUAACAAUGGUAAAAGUCUAAUUCUACUUUUGCUCUUUGAGGGGAUACAUAUCUUCCUUGCUUUUUAAAAUUUUAUGGGGAGAAUGAGAUGCUCUUCUUUUUCUUUUCUCUCAGGUGGGUAUCUUGUACCCCUAAUUCUACUGUCAGACACUUGUCCAUUUUUACCUUUCGUCUCACUUUUUUUUCUUUUCUUUCGAGGUUCCGAGCACUUGCUCCUUUUUAUUUCCUCGUAUAUUUCUCUUUCUUUCUUUUUUUAUAGCACUCAUCUCUUGAGAUAAUAUAGCAAGUGGUAGUAACAAGAUAACUUGAGCAUUUAUUUCACAAGGGAAAAACAAUAAUAUUUUUGGUUAUUCUCUCCCGGAUUAGGAGUAGAAUAUUUUUAGGUGAUUCUGGAGAUGGAAAUGGAUGGAUAUAUGUGGAUGGUACUUCCGGAGUAGAAGUAGCAUAUAUGAGUGAACGUGCAAGUGAAUCUUGAUUUAACCACAUGACAAGCUCCUAAUGGUCUACACAGCUUGACCACACUCAAUGCUCAUAAGCAGUAAAUAGUAAAUGUGUGGCUCAAAGUCUAGCAAGCAUGUAUAUAUGGCUGUGGUAGGAAUUUAAACUCUCAUCAUACAGGAACUCAUCAUGCAACAUUUUAAAGAUUUUCAAAGAUAAAAUUCUCCAGAAUUCUAGCAUCUCUAGGAACAGAUAAACAGCAGCUCAACCUUCCCAUAUCGUAUCCGUUAACACAUGCAAGUUUUCAUCCCACAAGUUUAGGUCUAGAGCAAGCUUUAAAUUAUAACAGUUAUAUCUAAACUUGAGAGAGAACUUAAAAUGUGCAAAUUAGGCAGAGCAACUAUUCAUCAUAUCCAUGCUUGAGUUUUAUUAUUAAGAUACAGAUUAGCAUAGCCACUUUAUUCAUUUAUUAAACACACUAAGCAAAAGAUAUAUAUAUAAGCACAAAAUCUUUAUUUGGUUUUUCCAUAGUUAUGUAUAUUUAUAUUCUAAUAUAAUAUAAGUAUAAAGAUAGAUAGAAAUACUUAUCGAGAUAAAUGGGGGUGCUUUCCUCCAAGCUAAAUUUUGACGUAAUUUCUCUUGAUGUAGCUAGCAGGUAGCAGAGGUGUAUUUGAAAGUUAGCAGCAUUCUGACAGUGAUUAGAAUGUCCUCCGUCUGCCAGUCUUCCUGAUUCUUAGAUUCUGUGGAGCUCAAAUAGACAACAAAGCUUGUGGAACUGAUUAAGUGUUAGCAUAAAUAUCUAGCCUUUAUCAUGUUGAGACUCCUUAAUAAUUAUUACUCCCUGUUUUUCUAUUUUUAUUUUUAUAAAGCAGAAAAAUAUUUAUUUUAUUUUUAUGCCACCACAGCGAAUGUAUUUAUGGGUUUUAUGCCACUCGUAUACUUACAUGGGGCUUACUGUUUUUUCACAUUUUUAUUUUCUUUUUAGGAUAGCAUGAACAUGAUUAACUAAGUAAACUAUUUUAAAUAAUUGAAAGGGAAAGGAUAACUACCAAGUUUACCUCUUAGAAAGGCGUUCGGUGUUUUUAAGCCCUCCGAACAGGACUCUCCGUUUUCUUAAUUGUCCUAGGAUUCGUUGGGUGGCGUAGUCGGUACUUCCGGCGGCGCCACCUCUUCAUGUAUAGUUAUCUUCAUUUUCCAUACCUGACUCGGUGCUAUGGUCUCCUCUGGAUAAUUCUGUUUAAACUUUACGUCUUCUGACCUUAUAACUUCUCCUUCAUAGUCUGCCCAUCCGUCCCUGAUGAUCUGCCUCCUCUGGUUGCGGUUGCGUCUCUUUCUGACCUGCUUAGAUUCUUCAACGAUAUAGUUAGGGUCAGUAAAAUAACGGCGUACCUUCUUUGAGGGGAAGUGCAUAUGGACUUCUCCGGUUCCAAUGUAGAUAAUUGCUUUGACGGAACUGAGGAACGGUCUUCCAAGGAUGAUGGGUGGAUCGUAUUCGUCUUCUCCCAUGUCAAUAACUUGAAAGUCUGUGUAGACAAAAUGAUCGUCUAUUUUGACUGGGACAUCAGUUACUGUUCCUUUAACUUCUCGAAAUGUCUGAUCUGCCAUCUGGAGCUGAAUGUAUGUUGGUCUUAGGGGCAUGGUCCCGAACAAGAGCCGAUAGGUGACUGCGGCCAUUAUGUUGACGCCCGAUCCAGUGUCACAAGACGUCUUGUAGAAGUUGUAUCUAUUUAUGGAGCAGUUAAUGCUUGGCAUUCCUGGGUCGUCCUUCUUGGUCAAAAACGAUUACUUAAGUUGGUGAUCUUGGCCUCCAUGAACUGCAGUGACCAUCUUAGCGGACUCGGUCCACACUUGCUUGUUCCUGUUCCUGUCGACGAAAGCUGGUCGGCAGUCUACCUUGGGGUAUACCCACGGUAGUAGUUUAUCGGUAGACGGUGCGCAAACUACGAACUCGAUGGUGACGCAAGACACGGACAAGCUUUUUAUCCAGGUUCGGCCGCCGAGUUGGCGUAAUACCUACGUCCUGCGUCUGGUUGUAUUGAUUUGUGUUGAGAGAAUAUGAUGUUCUAGGGGGGUCCCUUGCCUCUCCUUAUAUAGUCUGAAGGGCAGGGUUACAGAUCUGGAAACUAAUCCUAGUCGGUUACAAUUGUCAUAGAUAGUUCGAUAUCAAUUCCUAUUCUAACCGACUAGAAUUCUGCUUGAUCUCCACAUCUUGCUUCCUUGCGCGAAACUCCAGGCUAUCGAAUCAAGCCUUGAACUCGUCUCGUAAUGGGCCAAGCUUCCUGGCCGAAGUCUAGUCGUAAGGGUAUAGGGGUUUAUACCCCCACAGCUAGUCCCCGAGCACCAUGUAUUGUGAUGUAACACGCCGUCUUGAGCUUCUUCGAUCAGUGAGACUUGACGUCUUCAAUAAGUGGGAAAGUCGCCCAAACAGUUGCAACGGUUCUUUGACCAACUCAAAAGACAGUUGAUCAACAUUGACAUCGAAGAAGCGAGUUGUUCGAAGAAUGCAUGGUGCUCUAAAUUAAAAAAGAUUUCUUUCCCGGUGAAGUGUGCCCACUUUACUUUUUUGAAAGGUAUAAACAUCAAAAAAGCAAGCAUAUUCACCGCAAGGUGAAGUGUGCCCACUUAGUCCCUGAGCCUGGUAGUAGGUGACGUAGGCACGUGGUGCCAGGGUCAAAAUAAAAGUCCUCAAAGAAAUUCUGUAACUGAGAUGCAUCGCCAGAUGCAUCGUACCGAUGUAGUCCCUGAGCUUGCUGGAAGGCGAAGUAUGAGCCUUGUAGCAAGGUCUAAAAAAUUGAAUUUACCAGUCCGUCUGCAAUUGAAUAGGCUAAUCGACCAGUCCCCAAGCACCAAGUGCGCUCCUUAGAAUUCUGCGUUGCUAUACUGUACGACCAGUCCCCGAGCAUCGAGUGCUCGGUGGUCGGUGCAGUCUUUGAAGUUCCGAGCUGAUAGACUGGGCGACCAGUCCCCGAGCGUCGAGUGCUCGGUGGUCGUUGCAGUCCUUGAAGUUCCGAGCUGAUAGACUGGGCGACCAGUCCCCGAGCGUCGAGUGCUCGGUGGUCGGUGCAGUCCUUGAAGUUCCGAGCUGAUAGACUCGGCGACCAGUCCCCGAGCGUCGAGUGCUCGGGGGUCGGUGCAGUCCCCAGAUUGUUGACUCUCUGGCAUAUUUGUCUUCUUUUUAUUGAAACGAUCUUUUCAGUUAAAGUUGACAUGACGAGACCUCCUGAUGGGUUGUCAGAUGGACGCAUGAAAAAUUGCGCCUUGCAACUGUGCAGCCGCCCUUUGCGUGGUUUGAGAAAAAGGAAACCAUCAAUUGGUACGAAAACUCCGCCGCAUUAAUUGUCUAUAAUCAUUGUAAACUGAAACGCCGCAUCCGCCGCAUGGCCCGCCCACUUCCCGAGAAUACAGGAAAUGGGAGGGGUGGAGUUGCGGGUUAUAAGAGCCUGACAGUUCCGCCUGUACUCCUUACCCUGCCAUUGCCCUCAAGCCUUCCUUCUCGCCUCUUUCCAUCACCUGCAUCUUCGUAACCCAAAUCCACUUCUCACCUCCAAUGGCGAAGAGCGACUCCAAGAAGAGGGCCGAACUGAUGGCCAAGGAGUGGAAGAAGUCCCGCAGCACCACCAAAUCCCUCGGUGACCUCGUCGACAUGGGACUCCUGCACAGCUCGGAGCUUGGCGGCUGGAGAGCGCCGGAAGGAGAAAGCUUCCCCGACCCUCGUGCCGGUGAGAUCGUCGUGUUCGAAGAUUUCGUUAAGAGGGGAUUUGGGGUUCCGGUUCAUCCUUUUCUCCAAGGUCUUCUUUCGUAUUAUGAGAUCGGGAUUUGCAAUCUGCACCCGAACUCAAUUCUCCUUAUCUCUACGUUUAUCCAUCUGUGCGAGGCCUAUGUUGGCAUAGAGCCGCACUUCGAUCUUUUUCGUUACCUUUUCUGCUUGAGGAAGAAGGGAGCAGUUGUAGGCUCCAAGGUUGCAGGUGGAGUAUACCUCAACCUUCGUGAUGGAAUGAAGAAUCACUACCUGCACUGUCCAUGGAACACUUCCUUGACCGAAUGGUAUAGGAAGUGGUUCUACGUCAGGGAGGAACCGGGCAGCUCCACGUUCUGCGACGUGGGGUACAUUCCCGAGAAGAGGGUGAGCUGGACCGACCGCCCGGAGUUCAACGGUCAAGUGGCGGAUCUGAUGAAGCUGAUCGACUGGUCGCGCCUGGAUGGGCUUGGCGUGGUCGGCAACUUUAUUUGUCGUCGGGUGAUGCCCUGCCAGAAGAGGGUGCACUCGGCGUACGAGUAGGCCGGAAGCGUGGACCCGACCAGGAUGCGACCGGAGAUCUUGGAGAAGGCGGAGGUACAACGGCUGUUGAACGAGCUGUUCAACUUCGCGGACGGAGGCUUCAUCCGUGGCAGUGAUCGGGUGCAAGCCUUCAAGUUAGGCCGACCAGCACCAAAGGUAUGUUGCAGAUUAUUUUGUUUUAGUAUUCGUAUAUCGUAUGUGGCUGGCUCAUCUUUGUUGCUUUUUGCAGAUCGGCGAUGUCGACCGGUGCACAGUGUAUGUAUCACUGGCACCGGGGAUGGAGAAUCCUGCGGGAGAAGACCCGCUAGAGGAGGACGCUGCUCGGUGUGCUCAUUACACCAGCAGUGAGGAGGAACAAGCCCGCCCCGUCCCAACCACCGAGGAGAGGGUGUCGGGGAAAAGGCCAAUGCCUAUGGAUCCGUCGCCGAUGCCGACACUGCCGGCGGAGAGCAGCCGAGCGCCGAAGCGGCGUCGGUUCAUCCGGAUUGACGACGACGAGGAGGAGGAGGAGGAGGCCGUUCCGUCGUUGGUCCAGAGGCCUCCUAGCCGUCCGGACGGCGGGGCGACCACUGCCGACCGUGUGGCCGUCGAUCCACCUGCGCCUCUUGCUGGGGAGUCGGGAGCACAGGUGCCGACUGGUCGGACGAGAAGGAGGUUUACCGCGACCCACCGCCGCUCGAACCUGUAAGUGCUCAACUUGCGUAUUUCACCGAUGUUUUUUUUUAUUGUAGUUUUGUUCCUUUAGCGCGGCGUCGGAUGUCGACCCUGGCCAUGCCGCUGGCCAGGGGACGAGUGAGCCGGUUUGCACUGCUGAAGACGCGGCCCCGCAGACCGCAGAGCAGCCUACGGCUGCAGCCGUGCCUGAGAGCGCCGAGGAGUCCCCGACCGCGGCACCGGCUACGUCGAGCUGCCCGACCAGGGUUGAGGAGGCUAUGGGGACGCCUCCCCCAGCCAGCACCACGGAAAGGGAGGGAAGGGCCCCGACCCCUCCUCCCGCCGGGGAGGGUGAAGUCUCCACACCGCCCCGAGCAGGGGCCGCUUCGACUACAGGCUCCCCAGGUCUGGUCCGGGGACCAGUAAUGCCUGGGACCGCUACCGGGAGCAACGCAGCGCGGGAGGAGGAAGCUCAGGCGGCCUCCGAGGACGAGGUGGAGGAGAUUGAGGGUCGUCCCCGUGAUGGCCGCCAACACGUGUAUGUGUGGCGCCAACGCGGGGAUCACUUUAUCGGGCAUGAAGAGCUCGCCGAGACCGAGGAGGCCGCCAGGGUGGAGCGCGCAGCCAAGCGCCUCGUCGACGAAGUCAAGGUAAGCGACUUUUUGUACUGCUGUACAUUCUAUGCGUUGUCUUGCAUGGUCGUUAUAUGUUCGCUUUGUAGGGCGCAAUGAAAACGGCAAAGUACCAGAAACGGUGCUUUGACCAGAUAGAAGGCGUCGUGGCCGAGAACAAGGCCCUGGCCGCGGAGGUAGACCGGCUGCGGUCGGAAGUCGGGGAGAAGGUGGCCGAGAUGAGCGCCCAAGAGGAGCGUCGUCUCGACCUCACUCGUCGCUUGGCCGACCAGUACCGGCAGCGAGAAGGUUAGUCACACGCUCCGAGCAGCUUUGCGUACUUGUGUAGUUUGCUUUACUGACCAGUUUAUGAUUCACGCAGACUUGGAGGAGGAGGUAGCGCGCCUCCGACAAGAGAAGGAACAGCUCAGCCAACAGCUCACCGGUGCGCUGGAGUCCGGGCGGCGAGCAGGAGAGGAAUUGGGUCGAAAGGACCGAGAAUUAUCUGGUAAUGGGUGCCGCCUUGUUAGCUGCUGCUUGUCGCCCCUUUGUUUGUUUGGUAUGCCGAAAAUAACGCUUUGUUUCAUUUGCAGUGCUCAAGGUGAACGCCAAGAAGCACCUGGAUGAUCUGAUCAAGGACCGGGACUCCUGGAAGGUCAACUGUUGCAGGAUCUGGAAAGGAGUGUCCCCGGUCCUAGACCUGAUCAGUCCCGAGCUCCCGGAGAGCCAGCCCCGCGCGCCACAGUUGACCCCGGUCGAGAAAGCGCAACGGGCGUGGGACUGGCUCCAGCAGUUCGUGAAGGACGCCGGGGAGUUUGCCGGCGCGCACGUCCUCAGCAUGGUGCGCGCCCACUAUCCCCUGGUCGACUUGAGCAGGCUGGAGAAGGGGUACCCGAAGGAGGUCGGCCCACAGGAAGCGGACGAGCUUCGGGGUAGUCUGCUGGACUUGUCGUCGACAGUGAUCGGCGACAUCAAUCUGUGCGGAACGGCCACUCCCCCAGACCAGCCGAGUUCAGAUAGGUCGGCCAGGGAGUUGUCGGGCGCGUCCGUUGCGGGAGAUGGGCGGUCGAUGCCUGCGGUCUCGACCAGCCAGGCGCCGGUGGCCCCGACCCCUUCGUCCGGGCAGCAGGGCCAGGCGGGUGAUCAGCCCGAGCAGCUAGGCCAAUGGAGUAGUCUGUAGGAAUAGACUAGUGUCUGCCCGUCAGGGUAUUUAUUGUAAACUUUGUAUGUAAAGUUUGUAAUAAAGUUUGCUUUUUUUGUCAUGACUGUUGUUUUUGAGCGCUGUAAGAUUAUCUGAGUGACGUGUCACCGUAUUCGUCUUGGUAGUCGUUAAGAGCAUCCAUUGCAAGAGUUUUGCCGAGUGCUGUGUGCGACAAGGUAUAGGCAAAAAAUAGAGAAUUUCAUUAUCAACAAUUAUAAGAUACUUACAAAGGAAAGUUAUUAAAACUUUAUGGAUAGAAACGUCGCAGUUUGUCUAUGUGCCAAGAGUUAGGCACUCAUGUUCCGUCUGGGUAUGCCAAUCUGUAGGACGUAGGUCGUGUGACCUCGGUCACCACGAAGGGUCCUUCCCAGGGAGUGGAUAGCUUGUGCAUUCCCUCCUGGCUUGUUUUCCAUCGAAGUACCAGAUCGCCGACCACGAAGGAACGGUCCUUGACGUUCCUGUUGUAGUAUCGCCUGACUGCCGCGAGAUAUUUUGCUGUUCGGAGACAAGAAUCUAAACGCUUUUCCUCCAUGCAAUUGAUUUCGAGUUCUCUGGCGUUGUCGGCGGUCGCCUGGUCGAAGUGUUCGAUUCUAGGAGAUCCAAAGUGUAUGUCAGACGGCAGGACCGCCUCUGCACCAUACACCAUGAAGUAGGGAGACACCCCUGUGUUUCGACUAGUCUGAGUUCGGAGGCCCCAGACCACUGCCGGCAAUUCUUUCAUCCAUCGACCGGGUGCUCUGUCGUUUUCGGUGUACAACCUUUUCUUUAGGGCGUCAACGAUCAUUCCGUUAGCACGUUCAACUUGACCGUUGGCACGUGGAUGUGCCACUGACACGUAUUUUAUGACUAUGCCUCUGUCAUCGCAGAAGUCCCAAAAAGUGGUGCCAGUAAACUGAGUGCCCAGGUCGGUGAUUAUGCUGUUCGGGAUGCCGAAUCUGUGUAUGAUUUGAUUGAGGAACUCCACAGCCUUCUCGGAGGUUGCCUUGACCAGAGGCAUGUAUUCAAUCCACUUGGAGAACUUGUCGAUUAACACGAAAACAAACUUGAAAUUGCCCGGGGCUGGUUUAAAUGGCCCGAUCAUGUCAAGCCCCCAGCAAGCAAAGGGCCAAGAAGACGGGAUGGUUUGAAUUUUGUGGGCAGGUACGUGGGUCCUCUUAGCGAAAAACUGACAUCCUUCGCAGUGUCGAACCAGUUUUUCUGCGUCGCCGACCGCGGUUGGCCAAUAAAAACCUGCUCGGAAAGCCUUUCCGACCAGCGUUCUUGAUGCGGUGUGAUUGCCGCAGGAUCCAGCAUGUAUGUCCUCUAAGAGCUUGAUACCAUCAUCUUGGGGUAUGCACUUGAGCAGUACUUCGGAGCUUGCGUUUUUCCGCAUGAGUUUGCCGUCGACCAGGAUGUAGUUCUUUGAUCGCCGAAUGAGGCGCUCGUUCUCUGUUUUGUCCUGAAGGCCUGUCCCGUCCGAUAUGUAUUUGAUAAACGGGGUACGCCAGUCACGCCCACCGGUUGUCGGAGUGGCGUCGUCUAUGAGCAUUGCCUCGGUGGGUUGCUUGUCGACCAGGGAGGAGCCUACGCUCGGCUCGUGGAUGUCCUGGACGAAAAUACCCCGCGGGAUCUGGGCCCGAGAUGAGCCUAACUUCGACAACGCAUCUGCUGCUUGGUUCUUAUCCCGGACCACGUGGAUGUACUCUAUGCCGUAGAAGUUGGUUUCCCAUUUGCGAAUUUCUUUGCAGUAGAGAUCCAUCUUCUCGUGGGCUGUGUCCCACUCCUUGUUGAGCUGGUUGAUGACCAAAGCGGAGUCGCCAUAGACACAGAGGCGCUUGACUCCCAGCUCAACGGCUAGUCUUAUGCCAUGCAAGCAUGCUUCGUAUUCGGCGACGUUGUUUGACGCCGGAAAAAGGAUCCGAAGGACGUAACGCAGUUUGUCCUUGUUGGGUGAUACGAACAGUAUCCCAGCGCCGGCACCGUUGAUGUUCAAGGACCCGUCAAAGAACAUUGACCAGUGGUCUGAGACAUCGGGAACGGAAGGCUCGUUGAGAUCCGUCCAUUCAGCAAUGAAAUCGACCAGGGCCUGAGACUUGACAGUGGUGCGACUCUGGAACUCCAGGGAAAAUGGACAUAAUUCCAUUGCCCAUUUCACGAUUCUGCCAUUGGCGUCUUUAUUGCGCAGGAUGUCCCCGAGAGGGAAACUGGCUGUCACCAGGACUCGAUGGCCGUCGAAGUAGUGCUUCAGCUUUCUUGACGUUAUCAGAAUGGCGUAUAUGAGCUUCUGUAUUUGUGGAUACCUGGCCUUGGACUCGUUUAAGACUUCACUUAUGAAGUAAACGGGUCUCUGGACCUUGUAGGCGUGACCUGGUUCAUCUCGCUCGACCACUAUUGCCGUGGAAACAACCCUGUCAGUUGCAGCAAUGUAAAGAAAUAGGUCUUCAUUGGGCUGAGGCGCUGUGAGGACAGGUGGUGAAGUGAGGAAGGUCUUAAGCUGAGUGAACGCAGCGUCGGCUUCCUCUGUCCAAGAAAAUUUUUCUGACGCUUUCAAUAGUUUGAAGAAAGGGAGGCCUAUUUCUCCCAGCCUUGAGAUGAAACGACUGAGGGCGGCCAUACAUCCGGUUAGCUUCUGAAUAUCCUUGACGUUCUUCGGUGGUCGCAUGUCGAGUACGGCUUUGACUUUUGAAGGGUUUGGUCGUAUGCCGUCGCGACUGACGACGUUGCCGAGCAGUAGACCGGAAGGAACGCCGAAAAUGCACUUCUUGGGGUUGAGCUUCCACUUGUACCUAUUGAGCGCCUUGAAAGUUCGGUCUAAGUUGUCGAUUAGGGUGCUCGCGUCCCUUGUUUUUACGACCACGUCGUCUACAUAGGCCUCGACGAGGUCAUCGCGAAUCUCGUCGUGGAGGCAUUGCUGGAUGGCCCAUUGAUAAGUGGCUCCGGCGUUUUUGAGUCCGAAAGACAUGGUCGUGUAGCAGUAUGCGCCGUAAGGUGUAAUAAAAGACGUUUUGAUCUGAUCUUCUUCCUUUAACGAAAUCUGGUGAUAACCAGAGUAGCAGUCUAGAAAGGAGAGGAGUUCGCAUCCGGCCGUUGAGUCGACCACCUCGUCGAUGCGAGGUAGACCAAAAGGAUCUUUAGGACAGUGUUUAUUGAGAUCAGUGUAAUCAACGCACAUUCUCCAUUCAUUAUUCUUUUUGCGUACAAGAACCGGAUUGGCGAGCCAAUCGGGGUGAUACACUUCUUUUAUGAAUUCGGCUGCUAGAAGCCGUGUGAUUUAUGUCCUAAUAGCCUCCUUUUUGUCGCGAGCGAACCGUCGCAGCUUUUGCUUGAUUGGUCUUGCGGUCUUCGAGACAUUUAAGGAGUGCUCGAUCAGGUUUCGUGGGACGCCGGGCAUGUCUGCGGGUUUCCAUGCGAAAACGCUUACGUUGUCCCUUAGAAACCUGAUGAGCGCGUCUUCCUAUUUUGGAUCCAGGUUGGCCCCGAUGAGGGCCGUCUUCUCGGGGCUUCCGUCGACCAGCUGAACUUCCUUGUGCUCCUUGGAUUUUGAGUUCUUUCUGGCUGUCUCCUGCUCAGGUAAUCGGAGCUGGUCGGGAAGCAGCUGCGCGGCUUGAGUUGCUGUUUCUGCCAUGCGGAUUGAGAGGUCGAUUGCUUCGGUGAUCUUGAAGCUCUCCUCUUCGCAGGUAUACGCAGUGUAAACAUUGCCUCUGACGGUUAGGACACCCUUCUCCGUAGGCAUCUUAAGGACCAGGUAUGAGUAGUGCGGGACUGCCAAGAACUUUGUCAGCGAUGGUCGGCCUAGUAUAGCGUGAUAGGUCCCGUCGAAAUCGGCGACCACGAAGUUGAUGAACUCCGUCCGGAAGUGGUCGGGUGUGCCGAAUUGGACAGGCAAUGUUAUCUGUCCAAGAGGCACUGAACUUUGACCCGGCAACACCCCCCAGAAUUGGGCGUCGUAAGGUUUUAGUUGUGCAGGAGAUAUCUUGAGGGCGGGCAGGCUGUUGCGAAAGAGGAUGUCAAUGGAGCUUCCCCCGUCCACGAGCACGCGCUCGAAUCUGAUGCUGUUGAUGCAAGGGUCCAGAAUCAGGGGGAAACGACCCGGCUCUGGGAUAGCGGCCCACUGGUCCUUCCUGCUGAACGAGAUCUCCCUGUGGGACCAUGGGGGGAAUUUUGGGUCCGCGAUCAGCCCGUCCGUGCUGUCUAUGUUGAGGCAGGCUCUCUUUAACAGCUUUCUUUCUCGCUUAGAUUCAAUGGAGACCUUGCCCCCGAAAAUGGAGUGGACCACGUUGGUGGGGCUGACGUACUGUUGUCGGGGGUCCCUAUCUUGGUCCUCGUCCUCAUCUUCGUGGUCGUGCCCGUCUCGCUUGUUGUUUUUCUUGGCGGAGUCGUCUUGGGCGGCCCGCCGUGUGUAGAUGCUUUUGAGGACGCGGCACUCUUCCAUGGUGUGAUUAGACUUUGGGUGCAGUUGGCAUGGUCCCUUCAACGUUUUGUUGUAGUCUUCUUGGUAGUCGCGUCGUCCGUUGGGACGCUUGACCGUGUUUACUUCGUGAUCGUAGUCGCGAGGGCGCUUUCCUCUGAAAUCGUCGCGGUUGUCGCGCCGCCGAUCCCAACCCUCUCGGUGAUCGCGGUUGUCGGAGCGGCGGUGGCUUCUGCUGUCGUAGCGACCACGACCAUCAUCUCACCGGGGAGGCUGGUCGGGACCUCUCGCAUCGUCUCGGAUUAGUUUUUCUGCGUCGUCGGCAUCGGCGUAAUUUUUGGCCGUGGCGAGGAGCUCUGCUACCGUUGUUGGACGUUUACGCAGCAGCUUGUUCCUCAGCGCUUCGUGGAAACGCAGGCCCGUGAUGAAGGCUGAGAUGGCCUCGUCGUGGGAAAUCUUCGGGAUUUUGAGGUGCAUAUCUGAGAAUCGUCGGAUGUAAUCGCGCAGGGGUUCGUUCUUCCUGUCCCUUAUCCUUUCGAGGUCAUACUUGUUUCCGGGCUGCUCGCAUGUGGCGAUGAAGUUGUCGAUGAAAGCCUGGCGUAGCUCUUCCCAAGAGUCGAAGGAGUCCUCGGGCAAGCCAAGAAGCCACUGAUGACCAGCCUGGUCGAGGACUACGGGGAAGUAGUUAGCCAUGACGUGCUCAUCCCCUGCCGUUGAUCGGACGGCGAUUUCAUAGAGGGUGAUCCAGUUCUCUGGAUUUUCCUUGCCGUCGUAUUUUUUAAGUUUUUCGAGCUUGAAAUUGCGGGGCCACACGACCUGGCGGAGGUGUGAGGAGAACUGUCUUAGGCCCGGAGGACCGUGCGUUGCAUCGUACUCGAUGCGGCGCAGGUUUUCGUGGACUGCUCUCUCUGCGGCGCGCCUGUUGAUGCGGUCCCGGGCAUCUUUGGGAGGGAUGUUGUGGCGGAGAUCCCUGUGCUGGUUUACUUCUUGGCCGCGUACGCGGUUCUGCUUGCGGCGACCGUCGGCGUCCCGACCACCAUCGUCGCGCCGUGAGUCCCCUCGACGGUUGUCGGGUGAGCGGCUGCGGUGACGCCUGCUGGGGGACGGUGAGGCCCGGCUACGAUUAGUCUGGUCAGAGGCGGCUUCCGUAUAAGAGACGUCCUGGACUCUCUUGAGCAGAGUGGCUGUCUGUCCCAUUGCAGCGAUCAGGUGUGCUCGGAUGCUGGUCCGGACUCCCUGGCAUUCGGUGGUAUCAGGAAGCCGAUCUAGGUUAGCCAUGGCGACUGCCACGUUGGCGCUUGGCAUUUUGUAGACUGGCUGGUCCCCGACCAUGUCAAAGGCAUCGUUGAGAUUAUUUGGUGGCAUUUGUUGUUGCUCGUCUGCGCGUCGUCGGGCGCGAUCGGCGUUGCGCUGUUCGCGGAGUUGCCUCUGGUCAUCUGUUUCUCCAUCAACGACCGGUUCGUCGGCGCUGACAUUGAACACAAUAUCCCCUCGCCGUGGGGGAAAUAUCGGGAAUCGGUUGAAACCCGGAGGUUGUGAAGGAAAAUCCAGGUCGUAGUCCUCGUCUUCGGUGUUUAUAACCUCGGUGGGGACGAAACCGGUGCUUGAGUUGGUGCUGGAAACCUGGCCGUCCCGUAGUUCUCGGAUUGUCACCAUGUUGACGUAGUGACGAUCGUUCCUUGUCGGCGACCAACCCGCCUUGCUGAAAACGGAUUGGGUGUGCUGUGAGUAAACAGAGGCCGAGUUGUUCAGGCCGCAAGGAUAAUCUUCCUUCUUGAGCUCGACGGAUCGUCCUGAGGGUGUUGAGGUUAUCGUCAGAGACGUUCCCAGCCGUUCGUGUGUGGCGACACGAGUUGGCCGGCGGGAUUUGAAAAAAUCCGCUGGAGCAGCUUGGUCGGGCCGGCGCAGAACUCCGUCUACUAGUUGGGAAACUUCGAGUAGCUUGGAGUCAGUGCGAUCAAGCGCUUGGAGAAGGUCCGAGCUGUCGAUCUUCUUUCCCUUGUAGAGCGGGAACGGUGGUCGGGCGCUCGGUGCCGCCACGUGUGUGGUCGGAGACGGCGUGAUCUCAGAUUGGAUCUGGGUCUCUUUCGAAACCGUGGUCGUGAGGCCGCCGCUGCACGUCGUCCACGUGAUCUGGCCAACGGUGAACGUGAGGCCUUCAGGCACGGUCGCGGAAGCUGGGAUCGUGACCAUCUUGUUCGCCGGAAAAGUUGCACGCACACCCCCUACCUGGCGCGCCACUGUCGACGAAAGCUGGUCGGCAGUCUACCUUGGGGUAUACCCACGGUAGUAGUUUAUCGGUAGACGGUGCGCAAACUACGAACUCGAUGGUGACGCAAGACACGGACAAGCUUUUUAUCCAGGUUCGGCCGCCGAGUUGGCGUAAUACCUACGUCCUGCGUCUGGUUGUAUUGAUUUGUGUUGAGAGAAUAUGAUGUUCUAGGGGGGUCCCUUGCCUCUCCUUAUAUAGUCUGAAGGGCAGGGUUACAGAUCUGGAAACUAAUCCUAGUCGGUUACAAUUGUCAUAGAUAGUUCGAUAUCAAUUCCUAUUCUAACCGACUAGAAUUCUGCUUGAUCUCCACAUCUUGCUUCCUUGAGCGAAACUCCAGGCUAUCGGAUCAAGCCUUGAACUCGUCUCGUAAUGGGCCAAGCUUCCUGGCCGAAGUCUAGCCGUAAGGGUAUAGGGGUUUAUACCCCCACAGCUCCUCCUGUUGGUCCUCCUCCUUGAUUCACGUCUGGAUUGAUGUGGAAUUUGUGUAGUCUUGGUCUUGAAGAAAAAUGUCUCCUUCCUCCCUUUGACGUAGAAACUGAUCUUGGCAGCACUGGCGUAGAUGAUAGCUCCCGUGGUGUUCAAGAAUGGCCUCCCUAAGAUGAUGGGUACUCUCUCAUCAUUUCCGGUCUCUGCCACUACGAAGUCUGCUAGGGCAUACAAGGUACCAACUCGAACACAAAGGUUCCUCAAUAUUCCUUUUGGAAAAGUUAUCGUCUGAUCUGCAAACUGCAAACACAUGGUUGUCUCUAAUAAAGGAUAUGUAAAGAAUUUCUCAUAGAGUACUGUCGAGGGUAUCGGUAAGGGGUACCCUCAGCAAUGCGCAUCGUGAGAUUGCCCGUACGAAGGUCGAGACCCUUAAUUCGACGCUCUAAUCUUACGUGUGCGCCGCCGUCGACAGUCGCGGCCUCGAAGACGGAAAUAGUCUCGAGCGAAUCGGUUCAGGACUCGAACGAUGGCUGCCGUCGAUGACGGAAGCGGGCUCGAGCGAACCAGAAGCUGUCGGGCGCGAGGACACUGUCCGCCGCCCGACGCGCGCACGCGAGCCGGAGCAUUAAAUGUACCUGACGCUUCCCCACCUAACACACAGGUCAUGGGAGGCGUGAUAGGAAGCAAGCUUCCGUCCCAUCGUUCUUUUUGCAGCCUUCCCACCGAACGACCCAGGGCGUGUCAGGACGCGGGAAACAAGGAUGGAACGUCUAAUCGGGACCCCCUCGAGACACCCAAGGUCAACGCUCCAGAUAUCUGCAUAUUACGCGGCGCCCGACCCUCGAUCGAACAAGGUCCCUUCCUAGAGACAAGUCGGGCGUCGACUGACGACACCACAGCAGCUCCGCUGGAUCCGCCACCAUACCGUACGAGCAUGCGACCUCAGAACCAGCACAAGGCGGCUGGCAGGGCAGCUCGCAGGAGCACGCGUAAUCAUCACCAAGCUAUCAGGAUGGGACGGCUCGAGGCCAUGCCGUACGGAAGCCUCGAGUAGGUCAGCGCUCCAUGCGGCUAUCGAUCCCUACUCUAACGUCUACGCAUGUACCCUGUGUCUCUCCUUGGAGCUAUAAAAGGAGGGACUCAGGAAUAGAAGAGGGACAUCUCACAACACACGAACACACACACGUAGUAGAGCUACACACUUCAUUCCACGCUUGUAUUCGCCCCUGUACAAGCACUUAGGUGCAAGAUAAUACAAACUCUCUCCCCCCGCUGGACGUAGGGCCUUCUCUUGCCCGAACCAGGAUAAAUCUCCGUGUCUUCUUGCAUCACCAUCCGGAAAGGGAAGCACGCAUACAAAUUUACUAGUUGGUGUGACCCCCCUGGGGGAAAAACACCGACAAGUACCCUGGGUAUAAUGUUGACGCUAGAGCCAAAGUCACAAAGUGCUUCUGGAACGUCCACCAUACCGAUGGAGAUCGGAAUGACAGGGCGUCCUAGAUCGCCUCUCUUCAUUCCAGCUUUGAUUGGACGCCAUCUUCUCCACAAGAGCUGUGGCUUGUGGUAUAGUAAGUGAUAAGAAUGCUCCUCCAGCUGCAGCAUCCAUGGUCUCUCGGGCACUGUUGCCGAGCCCAUGAUAAAAUGUCUGCAUCAAAAGCCAACUCUCCAUUCCAUGAUGGGGACAUUCUAGGAUGUAGUCUUGGAAGCGCUCCCAUGCUUCUGGAACGGAUUCAUCAUUUUGUUGCUGAAAACUUGUAAUCUUCCCACGGAGAGCAUUGGUCUUGCCCAUGGGAAAGAACUUAGCCAGGAAGUUUGUUGAGCAGAGUGCCCACAUAGUAUUCUUCUCCUUUGUAGCGUAGAACCACUGCUUCGCUCUUCCUAAUAGUGAGAAUGGGAAGAGGCGAAGUAGUAUAGCAUAUAUUGAAACUCCUGAUAUGGUGAAUGUGUUGCAAAUCUCCAGGAAGUGUUGUAAAUGAGCACUAGCAUCUUCGUGUGCCUUCCCACAGAACUGGUUGGAUUGCACCAUGUUGAUAAGUCCAGGCUUGAGCUCAAAGUUGCCAUCGAUCUCUGCAGCAGGUCCAGUGUGGAUGUUGUCCGUAGUGGGAGCUGAGAACUCACGGAUUGAUUUGUUCGCCAUGGCUUCGAACUCUGAAGACAAGUUCCGGUGAUCUUCUUGAUUGGAUGAAGCUUCUUGCUGAACUGUUGAUGAUCUCUUCUUGAGCUUGGCUCUCGUCUUCUUGAAUAAUGCUUCGGGAUUGUCAACAAAAUUUCCUGGAAGAUGUCUUCUAUUCAUACAUUCCCCUGCAUAAGAUAAAAUAGAAAAAUAUCAGGGUAAAACUGUAUGAGAGAAUAGGUAAGCUCAAUCAUAUUAGUGAUGCGAAUGAUAACUCAAAAUCUUUUAUUCCAUUCCUGAUUAGUAAUCAUCCUUCCCCAGCAACGGCGCCAAAAAUGCUUGUUGGGUAUUCUUAACAUCAUUACCAAAAAUAGACUAUGUUCUCUAAAUCUAGUAACGGUGCCAAAAAUGCCAAACCUAUCCCUCACACCACUUAAGCCAAGUUGUCAUCCCCAGCAUGACAUGAGAGAUGCAGUAUUGAAAUAUGCAAUUGCUCUUCUAAAUAAAUAAUGAAUGGGAUCUGCAAGCGCACAGAUUAAAAGCGAUGCAGCAUUUUAACCGGGAAGUAUUCCAGGUAUCGUUAUUUAUAUUUUUACCACUGGGAAGGGAUUAACAAUCAUCAAUAUUGAUUACAGAAUAGAAUUUGAGAUUGAGCAUCUAUCAUUGCAUGUAUAAUUGAGAACAUUACAUCUAACUCUUCAUACAGGGAUAAGUGUCACAUAGAAGAUAUAUGAAAUAAUGAAUAGUGACAAGGAUAACUAAUCUGAUCUAGCCACAUAAUAAAUAUGAUAAGCACCUCAAUUAUAUACUCUAGAAAGUCAUUAGCAUGGUAUUAGAACGAACUACAAGAAUAUUCCCUAAGUUAUUCUCAACUAUAUAGUUUAGCAUUAUCAUAGUUAGUGCAAGCAUACUUAGCAAUCAUUGUGAGACAAGACUACGCCCAUGCAUAGUGAUAUUAGCAAGGUAAAGGAGAAACAUAGCAAUCACUCCCCUGUAAUAAUAUUGCUCUGCCAGCCCAAUACAUGAGAGGGGGACUAUAUAAGAAUCAAUGAAGCUGUCACUAUCACGAACUACCCCACGAUCUGGCAUAUUGGCUACAAUCGCAGAUAAAUACGGUAUAAGCACCACGCCUACACAAUAUCUAUCAUUUACCCAUGGAUCCGAUGGAUAAACGCUAUACGAUCCUAAGCAUGUAUAUAGAUCCAAUCUAACUAAGCCAAGUACAUAACUAUGAUAAACUAAGAACAAUAUAAUCUUGAAUAUAAGCAAGUAGAGCAAAGUCAUAAGCAAUAUAUUGAAGUAGAACAAAGUCAUAUUCAUAAUAUUGAAGAACAAAGAUAAUUAGAAAGUAAUUAGAAGCACAACUAGAGAAUUACCAAGAAUCCUCCUGACAGAUCCGGAAAUCAAUCGAAGAUUGACUCCUUCUAGUUCUAAUCCUAUGUAGCUAUGCUAAUCUAGAUAUCUAAUUGAUGUGGUGGCUCUAAUCUUGAUCAGAGGCUUCUUCUCCCUUGAGUAACAAUGAAUUAGGGUUGAGAGGCUCUCUCCUCCAGGGGCCAGGGGGUCUCGUUUUAUAGUCCCUUCAAGUGAAUAUGGGCCGUUGGAUCAAACCGACAUAGAUUGUAUGGUUUAGAUUCAUCCUUUAGGUCGGUGGAGAUCUUCCACGAAGCAGAGUCCUGAUUGGACUCAGGGAGAGGGCGGGCGCCCUGCCUUUGGCCCCGUUUCGCCUCCGCUUCGGUCUCGUGGCUUCUGGAGUCUUCUAGAUGUAAGAUAAUUACGCGGCACGUUAAUAUCUCUAUGUAAUCCCGACGUGUGGGCCUUUCUUCCGUAUUUCCUGAUAACCCCUUGUAGAAAUAGACAAACACCAAAACUCGUGGAAUUCUUUCAAAUAAAACCCUAAGUCUAGAUGUUGAUUUCAUUUGGAUCCUUUUCUUUGUUUAUUUGAUAAUUAAAUUUGAUACUUAAGGACCGUCAACACCGUGUUCCCGCACGACGGUGGUGCCACAGCCGGAAUGGCGUGACGUGAACCGACACCAAGACCUAAGCAGACCUUAACGCGACUCAGAGGGAAGAAAGGAGGCGAGAAUGGAGUAGCGGCGAGGUUCGCCGGAAUCGGGGUCGCGACGGCCGUGAACCCGACGACGACGAACUCGCGAAAUGUCGCUCACCUCGGGGAGAUCUCGUCCAACCGAGGGGUGGAGAAGAUGGAGGAGCUCGAGGCGGACUUGGAGACGCUCGGAGGCGAGGCGAGAUGCAUAGGCGAGGGCGCAAGGAGCUCGUGAAGCUCGCGGCGGCAAUGGCGAUGGCACUGUCGCCGACGGAGACGCGAGAGAGAGAGGAAGGAAGAGAGUGGACGGGCACUGGGUGAGUGUGGGGUGUCGUGGCGUCCAUGACGACGCCGUCGACCUGACGAGCGAGGCCAACGCUGGCGUACAGGUGCCAAAUGGCAGCCAGGUGUCGCGCUGGGCGACCACGACGGCGAGCUCGGCUCUGAAUUAGACCACGCGAUCACCGACUGACAGAGCUACUUCAACGAUGGUUAUCUUCCAAACCAAGGCGAGUUAGGAGAUGGGGUAGUUGACAAAGUUGAAGUACUAGCCGAGUUCUACAACAUUGUCAACUAGGGCAAAAGCCAGAUCGGCCUGGAUUGAAAGAUGUGAGGCUUCCAAAAUCGAUCGAGCAAACUGGUGUCGUCUAGACUUAGCCAAAUUUGGCUAAGUGCCAAAACAGCACCCCAAAACUGCCUUGCAAGAAACUUUUGAGCAAGAUGUGUUCAUUUUCAUGAGAUGGCCAUAAAACAACUUUUGUUCCUUAUAAAAUUGUCUACAACUUUGCUGUAGAAAGUUUUGACAUGCAAACAUUUUAUGAAACACUUUUUAAAAGCUCAAGCAAAAGAGGUUUCUAGGGCCUAUACAUAGAAGUAUGACUUAAGUGAUUAUUUUGGAGAAGUGAUCAACAUGAACAUUGUUUCUAAGGUUGAGUGAAGCAUAGAUAAACUAAUUACCAAGGAUUAACACACAUGCAUGAGCAUGGUUCACAAAAACACAAGCAUAGGAAGCAUGAUUAAACAAGUCAAAGCACACUUAAGCAUAAAAUGACAUGGCUCAAGGUAGAUGAUGAUCAUGACAUGCUUGAGUAGAUGAUGAUGCUCAUGUUAUGCUUGUGAUUGAUGCAACCAUAACACUGGGCUGUUACAUACAACCUUGAGAUUCAUUACCACACAGGAAAGGCCAAUGUGGUAGCAGAUGCCCUAAGUAGAAGGUCAUAUGGUUAGCAGUUGGUGCCUAAGAACAAUCACCUACAAGAAGAGAUAGCACAGUUGAACAUGCAUAUAGUACGCCAACCUCAAAAUGGUAGUCUGAUGGUGCAGCCAACUCUUGUGGAAGAAAUCAAACAGACACAACAUAAGGAUAAGGAUCUAAUGAAAAUUCAUGAGCAAACUAGAGAAAAUAAAGCUCCAUACUUUAGAGUGGAUAACAAAGGAGUAUUGUGGUAUAAAAACAGGAUUUGUGUGCCUAAGGAGGGAAUGUUUCAAGAAUUAAUCCUUGAUGAAGCCCAUAACUCAGCUUAUUCUAUCCACCCUAGUGCCACCAAGACGUACAUGGACCUAAAAGAAAGAUAUUGGUGGAAUGCCAUGAAAGCUGAUGUGGCACAAUUUGUUGCACAAUGUGAUGUAUGCCAGAGGGUUAAAGCGGAGCAUCAGAAACCAGCAGGCUUCCUCCAGCCAUUUCCUAUUCCUGUUUGGAAAUGGGAUGAGAUAGGUAUGGAUUUUGUGAAUGGAUUACCCAAAACUCUGUAAGGAAAUGAUUCAAUAUGGGUAAUUGUGGACCGCCUUACCAAGGUCGCUCACUUCAUACCUGUGUGCACCAAGUAUAGUGGAGACACGUUAGCCCAGUUAUAUGUGGAUAGCAUAGUCAAAUUGCAUGGUGUGCCAAGUAGGAUUGUAUCUGACAGAGGUACCCAAUUUACCUCUAAUUUCUAGAAAAGUUUGCAUGAAUCUAUGGGGACCAUGCUAGAUUUUAGCUCAGCUUAUCAUCCUCAAACAGAUGGCCAGACUGAAUUGAUAUUAUCCAGUAAUUGUCUUAUUCGAAUCUAGGAACAAAUAAUAUGCUAUGACAGAAAUAUUAUUAUUUAGUAUGCUUAGGAUUUGUUACUCAUCCUGGAUACUCAUCACUACAUUUUCUUAAAUAUAAUGAUUUUAAAAGCAAAACUGUGUGAGUGGAGAAAAUAAAUUGUGGGUAUUGUGAAAGGGGUAAUGAACAAGUUAUAGAUGUGAACACUAUAGAGAUGGGGCGGAUGGGACCCCUGUUGGGGGAUGCCUUGGUGUUGUGGCUUAUACCUUGUGGGGUUAAGCUUGAAGAUAUCCGCCAUGUCUCGACUAAGGACUGAGUUGAUGAUUCAUCUUGCCUAACUCAGUUAUCGUACAACCACUCGCCUUGCAUGGGAAAGGCUUAGUCUAAAUCCCUCUAGUUAGGAUGGCAAUUACAUGGAGGUAGGUGUGCAACGGGACACUAAGAGAUGUAUGUAAAACGGUGGAAAUAUAUGAGAUAUAAAGAGCUUUGUGAAUUAUUGUGGUAUCAUGAGAUGUGGCCUUAGUGUUCCCGUGGUGAGCGCCAUUACUUAGCUAUGGAGGGUAAUGACUUUGAUGGAUCUGUGUGUUGACGGUCCUUAAGUAUCAAAUUUAAUUAUCAAAUAAACAAAGAAAAGGAUCCAAAUGAAAUCAACAUCUAGACUUAGGGUUUUAUCUGACAGAAUUCCACGAGUUUUGGUGUUUGUCUAUUUCUGCAGGGGGUUAUCGGGAAAUACGGAAGAAAGGCCCACACGUCGGGAUUACAUAGAGAUAUUAACGUGCCACGCAAUUAUCUUACAUCUAGAAGACUCUAGAAGCCACGAGAAGCAAGCGGAGGCCGAACGGGGCCAGAGGCAGGGCGCCCGCCCUCCUGCCCUGGGCGCCCGCCCUGACUCGGAGGCCAAUCGGGACUCUGUUUCUCGGGAGAUCUGCACCGACCUAAAGGAUCAAGGAUAACAGUUCAAUCAAUGUCGGUUUGAUCCAACGGCCCAUAUUCACUUGAAGGGACUAUAAAACCAAACCCCCUGGCCCCUGGAGGAGAGAGCCUCUCAACCCUAAUUCAUUAUUCUCAAGGGAGAAGAAGCCUCUGAUCAAGAUUAGAGCCACCACAUCAAUUAGACAGCUAGAUUAGCAUAGCUACAUAGGAUUAGAACUAGAAGGAGUCAAUCUUCGAUUGGUUUCCGGAUCUCUCAAGAGGAUUCUUGGUAAUUCUCUAAUUGUACUUCUAAUUAUCUUUGUUCUUAAAUAUUAUGAAUAUGACUUUGUUCUACUUCAAUAUAUUGCUUAUGACUUUGCUCUACUUGCUUAUAUUCAAGAUUAUAUUGUUCUUAGUUUAUCAUAGUUAUGUACUUGGCUUAGUUAGAUCGGAUUUAUAUACAUGCUUAGGAUCGUAUAGCGUUUAUCCAUCGGAUCCAUUGGUAAAUGAUAGAUAUUGUGUAGGCGUGGUGAUUAUACCGUAUUUAUCUGCGAUUGUACCCAAUAUGCCAGAUCGUGGGGUAGUUCGUGAUAGUGACAACUUCAUUGAUUCUUAUAUAGUCCCCCUCCCGUGUAUUGGGCUGGCAGAGCAAUAUUAUUACAGGGGAGUGAUUGCUAUGUUUCUCACUUACCUUGCUAAUAUCACUAUGCAUGGGCGUAGUCUUGUCUCGCAAUGAUUGCUAAGUAUGCUUGCACUAACUAUGAUAAUGCUAGACUAUAUAGUUGAGAAUAACUUAGGAAAUAUUCUUGUAGUUCGUUCUAAUUCCAUGCUAAUGACUUUCUAGAGUAUCUAAUUGAGGUGCUUAUCAUAUUUAUAUGUGGCUGAUCAGAUUAAAUAUCUUUGUCACUAUUUAUUAUUUCAUAUAUCUUUUAUGUGACACUUACCCCUAUAUGAAAGAGUUAGAUAAAUGAUCUCAAUUAUACAUGCAAUGAUAGAUACUCAAUCUCAUAUUCUAUUCUGUAAUCAAUAUUGAUGAUUGCUAAUCCCUUCCUAGUGGUAAAAAUAUAAAUAACGAUACCUGGAAUACUUCCCGGUUAAAAUGCUACAACGAUAUUUAUUUAGAAGAGCAAUUGCAUAUUUCAAUACCGCGUCUCUCAUGUCAUGCUGGGGAUGACAACUUGGCUUAAGUGGUAUGAGGGAUAGGUUUGGCAUUUUUGGCACCGUUAUCAGAUUUAGAAAACUAAGUCUACUUUUGGUAAUGAUGUUAAGAAUACCCAACAAGCAUUUUUGUCAUUGUUGCCGGGGAAGGUUGAUUACUAAUCAGGAAUGGAAUAAAAGAUUUUGAGUUAUCAUUUGCAUCACUAAUAUGAUUGAGCUUAUCUAUUCUCUCAUACAGUUUUACCCCGAUAUUUUUCUAUUUUAUCUUAUGCAGGGGAAUGUAUGAAUAGAAGACAUCUUCUAGGAAAUUUUGUUGACAAUCCCAAAGCCUUAUUCAGAAAAACAAGAGCCAAGCUCAAAAAGAGAUCAUCAACACUUCAGCAAGAAGCUUCAUCCAAUCAAGAAGAUCACCGGAACUUGUCUUCAGAGUUCGAAGCCAUGGUGAACAAAUCAAUCCGCGAGUUCUCAGCUCCCACUACGGACAACAUCCGCACUGGACCUGCUGCAGAGAUCGAUGGCAACUUUGAGCUCAAGCCUGGACUUAUCAACAUGGUGCAAUCCAACCAGUUCUGUGGGAAGGCACACGAAGAUGCUAGUGCUCAUCUCCAACACUUCCUGGAGAUUUGCAACACAUUCACCAUAUCAGGAGUUUCCAGAGAUGCCAUACUACUUCGCCUCUUCCCAUUCUAACUGUUAGGGAGAGCGAAGCAUUGGUUCUACGCUACAAAGGAGAAGAAUACUACUUGGGCACUCUGCUCAACAAACUUCCUGGCUAAGUUCUUUCCCAUGGGCAAGACCAAUGCUCUCCGUGGGAAGAUUAUAAGUUUUCAGCAACAAAAUGAUGAAUCUGUUCCAGAAGCAUGGGAGCGCUUUUAAGACUACAUCCUAGAAUGUCCCCAUCAUGGAAUGGAGAGUUGGCUACUAAUGCAGACAUUUUAUCAUGGGCUCAGCAACGGUGCCCGAGAGAUCAUGGAUGCUGCAGCUGGAGGAGCAUUUUUAUCACAUACUAUAUCACAGGCCAUAGCUCUUGUGGAGAAGAUGGCGUCCAAUCAAAGCAGGAAUGAAGAGAGGACCCAGACACGCAAGAGAGGUGGAGGUAUGCAUCAGCUUAAGGAGGUAGACAUGCUGUCUGCAAAGCUAGACCUGCUCAUGAAGAAGCUCGAAUAUAGAGCUGGAGAUAAGAAAGAAGUUAUGCACAUCUACGACUCUCACAUGACUUGUGAGGAGUGUGGAGACACUGGACACUCAGGCAAUCACUGCCCCGAGAUGCUUGAGGAUGUGAACUACAUCAACAACAACAACAAAUACUACUACAACCGUCCUCAACAAAAUCAAGGUUGGAAUCAACAGAGGCCUAACUACUCAGGUAAUUAUCAAGGUAAUAAUUCUUACAACAAUAAUAAUAAUUUUCCACCUUUGAGAGAGUUAGUGUCUAAUCAAGGAAAGCUAAUGGAUAACCUAUCUAAGAAAUUGGCAUCUAAUGAUAAAAUGUUAGAAAAUAUAAAUAAUAGAAUGGAUAAUUUCUCUACUGCCAUCAAGAGUCAAAUUAGCUUUAAUAAAAUGAUUGAAUCUCAGUUAAAUCAAAUAGCUGCUGCUGUUCCUCCUACUAACCCCGGUAUACCAUCACAACCGGAAGGAUUAGAAUCUGCAAAUCUUGUAGACAUGUUUGAUGCAGGUAAUUGGAGUAACCCCAUCACUGAAGUUACUUCUGACCUUCUGCCGGUCAAGAGAGGCGAUCCAGGAUGCCCCGUCAUCCUGAUCUCCAUCGGCAUGGUUGACGUCCCAGAAGCACUCUGUGACAUUGGCUCUAGCGUCAACAUUAUACCCAGGGUACUCUAUGAAAAGUUCUUUACAUAUCCUUUAUUAGAGAAAACCAUGUGUUUGCAGUUUGCAGAUCAGGCGAUAAGUUUUCCAAAAGGAAUAUUGAAAAACCUUUGUGUCCGAGUUGGUACCUUGUAUGCCCAAGCAGACUUCUUGGUGAUAGAGACCGGUAAUGACGAGAGAGCACCCAUCAUCUUAGGGAGGCCAUUCUUGAAGACAUCGGGAGCUGUCAUCUACGCUAGUGCUGCCAAGAUCAGUUUCUACAUCAAAGGGAGGAAGGAGACAUUUUUCUUCAAGAACAAGACUACACAACUCCCAGAUCAAUCUAGACAUGAAUCAAGAAAGAGGACCAACAGGAGGAACAGGAAUAAGCAAGUGUGGACCGAGUCAGCUAAGAUGGUCACUACAGUUCAAGGAGGUCAAGAUCAUCAACUUAGGUCACCAUUUUUGACCAAGAAGGACGACCCAGGAAUGCCAAGCAUCUAUUGCUCCAUAAAUGGACACAACUUCUACAAGACGACUUGCGACACCGGAUCGGGCGUCAACAUAAUGGCCGCUGUCACCUAUCGGCUCUUGUUCGGAACCAUGCCCUUAAAACCAACAUACAUUCAGCUCCAGAUAGCAGAUGAGACGUUUCGAGAAGUUAAAGGAAUAGUAACUGAUGUCCGUGUCAAAAUAGACGAUCAUUUUGUCUACAUAGACUUUCAUGUUAUUGACAUGGGAGAAGACGAAUACGAUCCACCCAUCAUCCUUGGAAGACCGUUCCUCAGCACCGUUAAAGCAAUCAUCUACAUUGUAACUGGAGAAGUCCAUAUGCACUUCCCCUCUGAGAAGGUAUGACACUAUUUUACUAACCCUAACUACAUCUUUGAAGAAUCUAAGCAGGAAAGAAAACGACGCAACCGCAAGCAGAGGAGGCAAAUCAUCAAGGACGGAUGGGCAAACUACGAAGGAGAAGUGGUAAGGUCAGAAGACGUAGAAUUUAAACAAAACUAUCCUGAGGAGACCAUCGCACCGAGUUAGGUGUGGAAAGAGAAGAUAACCAUGCAUGAGGAAGAGGCGCUGCCGGAAGUACCGACUCCGCCACCCAAAGAAUCCCAGGACAAUUGAGAAAGAGGAGAGUCCUGUUCAGAGGACUUAAAAACACCGAACGCCUUGCCAAGAGGUAAACUUGGUAGUUAUCCUUUCCCUUUCAAUUAUUUUAAAAUAGUCUACUUAGUUAAUCAAGUUAAUACUAUCCUAAAAAGAAAAUAAAAUGUUAAAAAAUAGUAAGCCCCAUGUGAGUAUACGAGUGGCAUAAAACCCAUAAGUACAUUCACUGUGGUGGCAUAAAAAUAAAAUAAAUAUUUUUCUGCUUUAUAAAACGAAAAUAUAAAAGUAGAGAGUAAUAAUUAUUAAGGAGUCUCAACAUGAUAAAGGCUAGAUAUUUAUGCUAAGACGUAAUCAGUUCCACAAGCUUUGUUGUCUAUUUGAGCUCCACAGAAUUUAAGAAUCAAGAAGACUAGGAGACGGAGGACAUUCUCAUCACUGUCAGAAUGCUGCUGACUUUCAAAUACACCUCUGCCACCUGCUAACUACAUCAAGAGAAAUUACGUCAAAAUUCAGCUUAGGGGAGAGCACCUUCUAUUUAUCCCGAUAAGUAUUUCUAUCUAUCUAUCUUUAUUCUUAUACUAUAUUAAAAUAUAGAUAUACAUAACUAUGGAAAACCAAAUAAAGAUUUUGUGCUUAUAUAUAUAUCUUUUGCUUAGUGUGUUUAAUAAAUAAAUAAAGUGGCUAUGCUAAUUUCUAUCUAAAUAAAACUCUAGCAUGGAUAUGAUGAAUAGUUGCUCUGCCUAAUUUGCACAUUUUAAGUUCUCUCUCAAGUUUAGAUAUAACUGUUAUAAUUUAAAGCUUGCUCUAAACCUAAACCUGUGGAAAGAAAACUUGAUCUGAAGUCUAAGUUGUUAACGGAUAUGAUAUGGGAAGGUUGAGCUGCUGUUUAUCUGUUCCUAGAGAUGCUAGAAUUCUGGAGAAUUUUAUCUUUGAAAAGCUUUAAAAUAUUGCAUGAUGAGUUCCUGUGUGAUGAGAGUAUAAAUUCCUACCACAGCCAUAUAUACAUGCUUGCUAGACUUUGAGCCACACAUUUACUAUUUACUGCUUAUGAGCAUUGAGUGUGGUCAAGCUGUGUAGACCCUUAGGAGCUUGUCAUGUGGUUAAAUCAAGAUUUCACUUGCACGUUCACUCACACAUGCUACUUCUACUCCGGAAGUACCAUCCACAUAUAUCCACCCAUUUCCAUCUCCAGAAUCACCUAAAAAUAUUCUACUCCUAAUCCGGGAGAGAAUAACCAAAAAUAUUUCUGUUUUUCCCUAUGAAAUAAAUGCUCAAGUUAUCUUGUUACUACCACUUGCUAUAUUAUCUCAAGAGAUGAGUGCUCUAAGAAAAGAGAUACCAGGAAAUAAAAAGGGGCAAGUGCCCGGAACCUCGAAAGAAAAGAAAAAGUGAGACGAGAGGUAAAAAUGGACAAGUGUCCGACAGUACAAUUAGGGGUACAAGAUACCCAUCUGAGAGAAAAGAAAACGAAGAGCAUCUCAUUCUCCUCAUAAAGUUUCAAAAAGCAAGGAAGGUAUGUAUCCUCUCGAAGAGCAAAAGUAGAAUUAGACUUUCACCAUUGUUAUCACCAUCAUCACCAUACACCAUUCAUUCGCCACACAUGCACAUCUUGAUUUGACUUAUUGAUUUGUUUCUUUGGAUCCAUGGUUUGACUAUGCAAUACAUGUCUUGUAAGUAUGUAUAUUUUAUCUCCCACACCUAUGAGCUCCAGAUAUUAAAGCCUUAUUAGAGUAGGGUGAGAGAGAAGGCAAUGUCACUAUGCCUUAUACCACAAAUACCACAUACUUUUUGAGAGAAGGCAUAUACCAUCAUUGCCAUGGUAAGGAUCCAGAAAUACCAUAAAAGAGAGAUCUGAGAGAAUCAUACAAGGAAUCUCUGAGUUUUAUUUGAAAAUCUGCAAAAACUUCAGAGCUAUAGCUGAUCAAGAAUAAGAGACAUGGCACUUGACUAGACUAUUCUAUCUUUUAACUACUCAAGACAGAAGUGACGGUUAUAAGUCCCAUGGUGAAGGUAAAGUAAGUAGGUUUUAAGUCUUGACAGUUUACUCUAACUCAGAGAUGAGAUCUUAUUUAAAAAGCAUGUGUACCGACAAUUUUUAAAGAUAUUGCAACAACUUCUAAUCCAUCGCUGAGUCUAUCCUUGCUCAGGGAUGAGCAAGAGGUAAUCUUGGGGGAGUUUGUUGACGGUCCUUAAGUAUCAAAUUUAAUUAUCAAAUAAACAAAGAAAAGGAUCCAAAUGAAAUCAACAUCUAGACUUAGGGUUUUAUCUGACAGAAUUCCACGAGUUUUGGUGUUUGUCUACUUCUGCAGGGGGUUAUCAGGAAAUACGGAAGAAGGCCCACAAGCCGGGAUUACAUAGAGAUAUUAAUGUGCCACGCAAUUAUCUUACAUCUAGAAGACUCCAGAAGCCACGAGAAGCAAGCGGAGGCCGAACGGGGCCAGAGGCAGGGCGCCCGCCCUCCUGCCCUGGGCGCCCGCCCUGACUUGGAGGCCAAUCAGGACUCUGUUUCUCGGGAGAUCUCCACCAACCUAAAGGAUCAAGGAUAACCGUUCAAUCAAUGUCGGUUUGAUCCAACGGCCCAUAUUCACUUGAAGGGACUAUAAAACCAGACCCCCUGGCCCCUGGAGGAGAGAGCCUCUCAACCCUAAUUCAUUAUUCUCAAGGGAGAAGAAGCCUCUGAUCAAGAUUAGAGCCACCACAUCAAUUAGACAUCUAGAUUAGCAUAGCUACAUAGGAUUAGAACUAGAAGGAGUCAAUCUUUGAUUGGUUUCCGGAUCUGUCAGGAGGAUUCUUGGUAAUUCUCUAAUUGUGCUUCUAAUUGUUCUUCUAAUUAUCUUUGUUCUUCAAUAUUAUGAAUAUGACUUUGUUCUACUUCAAUAUAUUGCUUAUGACUUUGCUCUACUUGCUUAUAUUCAAGAUUAUAUUGUUCUUAGUUUAUCAUAGUUAUGUACUUGGCUUAGUUAGAUUGGAUUUAUAUACAUGCUUAGGAUCGUAUAGCGUUUAUCCAUCGGAUCCAUGGGUAAAUGAUAGAUAUUGUGUAGGCGUGGUGCUUAUACCGUAUUUAUCUGCGAUUGUACCCAAUAUGCCAGAUCGUGGGGUAGUUCGUGAUAGUGACAGCUUCAUUGAUUCUUAUAUAGUCCCCCUCUCGUGUAUUGGGCUGGCAGAGCAAUAUUAUUAUAGGGGAGUGAUUGCUAUGUUUCUCAUUUACCUUGCUAAUAUCACUAUGCAUGGGCGUAGUCUUGUCUCGCAAUGAUUGCUAAGUAUGCUUGCACUAACUAUGAUAAUGCUAGACUAUAUAGUUGUAACACCCAAAAAUUUACAAAUUUUGAAAUAGGUGGAAAUGAUUUAAUUCUGUAUUUUUGUGUUCAUGGAAUAUAGAGAAAUAAUAUUUUCAUCGAAUUAAAAUUUAUUAUAGGAUUUAGCAACUUGUUGUGCAUUCAUUUUUGGGGCAUUUGUUUUACUGUUUGGUGUGUAUUUAACUAAAGAUCAAAACAUUUCAAACAGAUUUAAAAAGGAUUUUUUAAAUGAGUUUGAAAUGGCUUUUAGAUAAAUGAAAACAAAAGAAAAAAAAGGGGAACAUCUCCCUCCAUUUGUUUUGGCCCGAAGACCCCAAGCCCCUCCCCUCUUCCCUUCCGGCCCAGCACGCCACCCCUUUUUCCAUCUCUCGCUCGGCCCACUCCCUCGGCCCAACCGCACGCGGCCACCCUUUCUCCCCGCGGCCCGCGUCCCUCCCUUCUCUCCCUGACAACCGGGCCCAGCUUGUCAGCCGCCCUUUCCCUUCUUCAACCCCGCGUCGGGUGCGUGUAGGACUCUAUUCCUACCGAAACUAUCCAAUCUUGUGGGGAUUUUUGCCCGAUUCGCGGACCUUGGUCCUUUAAAGGGGAACGGGGAUCCUACCGCCUCCGUUUCUUCCUAUUUUCCUAGACUCGAGCUCCAUCCUACCCUAGCAUAGCUCGCAAACACCGCCGCCAUCCUGUAGACUGACUCCGAGUGCGGAUUAGUGUUUCUACCACGACUCCGCUCCCGUAAGCUUGAUGCCGGGCUUCGUAAUGAAUUUGCGAAGUCCCUGGAUCUCUUUUCCCUUUAUUUUUCGCUUCGGUUUGCUCAGUUCGUGUUGCCGAACCUCGCAGGGACCCAGGAUCCGCCAAAACACGACGCAGGUCAUCUCAGAGUUGUCCUUGCCUUCGAUUUUGCCUCGGGGUGAGUUUGCCGUUUCCUCCUCUUGCUCCCCAUGCUCUCAGUUUUGUUUUUGGUUCCCUAAAUCGCCGAUUAGAUGAACUCUGGCGAGCUCCUCCUCUUUCCGGCCAUGGCACCGCCGUCGGUGCCCUCUGUUCCGGCCGGCCAGCCGUUCCCCUCUCCGCCGAUCUAAUCUGCGCCAUCGGUUUUGCGAUCAGCGGCCAAGAUCUCAACAUACCCCUUCGCGUGCGAUUUUGUUAAAGAGUCCUUGGAUUUUUCUAGGAAUCUACCCGCACUCCUUAGUGCUUUCUAUAGAUUAGGUUUUCUAAGUUGGAAAGCGUACUUUAGACUGGUUUCGCUCAGAUUUCGCUUUCUGAUAUUUACAAUUUUGCCACUGCAUCCGUUUUAGCCAUAAAAUAUUUAUUUUAAAUCCGUUUUGACCCAUUCAAAUUGCGUUAGGUUCAUAAUCAUGAUCUCUACAUGUUAGUAAAAUUAUUUACUCAGUUUGAAACUUUUUAAUUACGUGACUUUAAUUAAUUAAUCACUUUUCUAUAUAAAUCUUAGAAAAUUCAUAACUUCUACGUUUUAACUCUGAUUUUCGUGAUCUUUACGUCUAUGAAAUCGUAGCGAUGCGUAGAAUCGUUUUAUAAACUUUUCAUACUGUUUUUAUAUGAUUGGUGUACUGUUCUAAUUGUAGCUUUGUUUGCUUCGUGUAUGUUUGUUUCCGGUUGUUUGUGUGUUGAUGAUCGAUGAUCGAGUUUAGUCGGAGAGCAGUUUCGGUGAUCAAGAUCAAAGCUUUGGCAACAAGUGAGACCAGCAGAACCAAAAGGAUAAGCAAGAGCAUUUGGAUCAAGGCAAGUAUAGCAUUUGGGUUUUAUUUCUGUGACCAUGAUCCUGUGACUAGAUUAAUGUUAAGUAAUAAAUGAUAAAAGUGACUUUUUAGCAACUUGAUGAUUUGUCUGUACGUGAUCACCCGGGACAACAGUGCAACCAUGAGGGCUAUAAUGGCUCUGGCUUUAGUUAAGUAUGAGUAACUUUUUUAGCUCGUUAGUGGUUACCCGUUGUGGCGCAAUUGGGGAAUAGCAGACCGUGGAUUCCUGCGGGUGAGUCACACGGACUGACUAAUGAAACCAAGCGGCCCUAACUUGUUAGACGAACCUUUGAAAGACUUCAUAGUGAUCCCUGCCGACCUCCCUUGGAAGGGGGUUAAGAGAUUAGCUACCUCGGGUGAAAGGGUAAAUCAUGACUCAUGGGUAAAGAUGUGCAACCUCUGUAGAGGGUUAAAAACUAGUAUACUAGCCGAGCUCACGGUCAGGAGCGGCCUUGAGGACAUCUACAUUAAGGGUGAUGAUUCUUGUGUGUUAAUAUGCUCAUAUUUAUUGUUUAAAGCUUUACAUUAUUUAUGUCACAUUGAUCAUGGGAUUGUAGGAGCUAUACAAUCUAGUUGCUAUACUUGUGGAGUUCGACAUGGACUCACUCUUGCUAUUUCCCCCACCCUUCAGGAGAAGUUUAGGCUUGUGAUCAACCAGUCAGUUGGAUCCUGUAGAGUGGAGUUAAUACCCGAAGGUGGAGUUGUGUAUCCGCUGUUUGUUAUCAAAGGUUAUAUCUUUUAUACUAAGUACGUUAUAUAUUUAUGCAUUGUAUUUUGAUAUUACACCUUAUUUGUAGCUAUAUGUGAGAUUUGACUUCUAAAACUCAUAUAUAGUGUAUAUCUGGUUUUGUCCGUAAAAUCGGGUAUUACAGUAGUUGAGAAUAACUUAGGAAAUAUUCUUGUAGUUCAUUCUAAUUCCAUGCUAAUGGCUUUCUAGAGCAUCUAAUUGAGGUGCUUAUCAUAUUUAUAUGUGGCUGAUCAGAUUAAUUAUCUUUGUCACUAUUUAUUAUUUUUUAUAUCUUUUAUGUGACACUUACCCCUGUAUGAAAGAGUUAGAUAAAUGAUCUCAAUUAUACAUGCAAUGAUAGAUACUCAAUCUUAUAUUCUAUUCUGUAAUCAAUAUUGAUGAUUGCUAAUCCCUUCCCAGUGGUAAAAAUAUAAAUAACGAUACGUGGAAUACUUCCCAGUUAAAAUGCUACAUCGGUAUUAAUCUGUGCGCUUGCAGAUCUUAUUUAUUAUUUAUUUAGAAGAGCAAUUGCAUAUUUCAAUACCGCGUCUCUCAUGUCAUGCUGGGGAUGACAACUUGGCUUAAGUGGUAUGAGGGAUAGGUUUGGCAUUUUUGGCACCAUUAUCAGAUUUAGAAAACUAAGUCUAGUUUUGGUAAUGAUGUUAAGAAUACCCAACACUGUGCUUACACGACGGUGUAAGUUAUGGUAUCCUACUUGUGGGAAAAGUGUACAUCCUUUGCAGAGUGUAAAUCUAUCUGGAUAGCCGUGUCCGUGGUCUCAGACGGGUUAUGGUUUGGUUUCAACAACUAGAUGGGUUGGGAUCAGUGAAAACAUGAGAGUGAGUGUCAUUUUAGAAAUAAAUGGUUGACUGCCAUUGUGUUGUGGGAACAAGGGUUCAACAACACUAAAAAAUUGUGAUCAAACCCCCAUUUUCAGAAAUACUAUCAUAUGUGGAAAAAGAGGUCUUUUACAACAGUAUUUGUGAGAUCAAACCUUGCAUGUGUAAAAAGAUAGCAUUAUGCAAAUAAAACUAAGCCUCAUCCUUGAUUUAUCCAUAUGCAUAUAUAUUGUUAUCCCCUUCCGUAGGGUAAGGUUGGAUUUGCUGAGUACUUUCUACUCAUCCUUGUUUUAUUAAACAGACGAAGAUCCGGACUUUGAUCCCGAAGUGGCGUUCGAGUAAGGUCGUGUCUGCACCCAACUAAGCCUAUGGCAUUGGGACUUGUCAGAUGUUCAGUUGUGAUAUCGUUUGUUUCUGGGUCCUUUGGACCUAUGUUGUAUUUUGGUGUCUUAUUAUUAUAACGUGCCUUCAUUGUCCAAGCUUAUCGAGACUUCUGCACUGAAACUUAUCUAAUGUAAUAAAUGUGUUACUAGCCUCCUGGGACUAGUAUUGUAUCACAAUUGAGUUCCUGGAUUACCAGGGGCGCUUCACUUAACCACCACAUCAUCAAUAUAAAUUUCCGCCAACUUCCUGUUGAACUCAUAGAAAAUAAAGUUUAUAGCCCUCUGAUAAGUAGCACCAGCAUUUUUCAAUCCAAAAGUCAUGACUAUCAAUUCGAAUAACCCAACAUGACCAGGACACCUAAAUGCAGUCUGAGGAAUAUCUUCUUCAGUUAUGAAUAUUUGAUUGUACCCUGCAUUACCAUCCAUGAAGCUAAUAAUCUGAUCUCUAGCCGCAGCAUCAACCAACAAAUCGGCAACUGGCAUUGGAUAGCCAUCUAUCAGUGUAGCAUUGUUGAGAUUCCUAAAAUCAAUGCAUACACGAAGUUUUCCAUUUUUCUUGUAGAUAGUAACAACAUUGGAAAUCCACUCAGCAUACCGACAUUUCCAAAUGAACUUAGCUUCAAUAAGUUUGGUUAAUGGCCUUAAUAUCAGGAAGAAUAUUAUGGUUACAUCAGCGCUGGCUGCUGAUGUGGCCGAAAUCCUGAUUUAAUAGGUAACCGAUGUUCUACAAUUGAUCGGUCUAAUCCAGACAUCUCAGUAUAAUCCCAAGCAAAGCAAUCUUUAUACUCUUUUAGCAAAUUGGUUAAUUGUUGCUUACAUUCGUAAUUCAACUUAGCACUAAUGAAAGUAGGCCUCAGCCUAUCACCACUACCUACGUCUAUUUUUACCAAAUCAUCAGCCGAUGUAAACCCAUGUCCUAACUUCCCAUCAUCGGCGAACCUAUCCAUUAAAAUUCUUCGUCAGAACCGUCUGCUUAGAUUGGUGGAAUCUCAUAAUCGGCAACCUUGAGGAAAUCUUUCUUCCAAGCUUUUCCUCAUAUGCACCUAGUUCACUCAUAAGUGUCUGAUUUUGCCGAUGCAAUGAUGUAGGAAGAAUCCCCAUGAACAACUUCAAUUUUAUUGCCUACCCAUUGAACAAGGCACUGAUGGAUCGUAGAAGGGACACAAUAGUUGGCAUGAAUCCAAUCUCUCCCCAAUAGUAGAUUGUAUGCGCCCUUUCCAUUGAUGACAAAGAAAGUUGUCGGCAAGGUUUUGCUGCCGAUGGUCAAUUCAACGCAUAUAGCUCCUUUAGCUGGAGAUACGUUACCUUCAAAGUCUUUUAGCAUCAUAUCAGUUUUAGUUAAAUCCUGAUCUCCUUUACCAAGCUUCCGAUACAUCACAUAAGGCACAAUAUUAAUUGCAGCCCCUCCAUCAAUAAGUAUUUUAGAAACUGGCUCCCAUCAACCUUGCCUUUAACGAACAAAGCACUAAGAUGUUGCCUUUGAUCAUCAGAGGGUUUCUCAAAAAUAGCCAUCAUUGGAUCAAGUGCCAACUGAGCCAUUUGAUCAGAGAGAUUAAUUUCUUCAUCAUCACUGGAAGGUGCAAGAAAUUCCAUCGGUAACAUGAACACCAUGUUGAUAUCUACCGAUGUUCCUUUCCCCAUGCGGUCCAACUGCUGCCGAUCUUCAGACUUAGAAGAAUUUUCCUCUCUAUACAAAUCCUCCUGACGUUCACGCUGCAUCCUCUUCCUCUGCGUCCUUGUUCAUCCUUCUGGACACCAUCUGGGAAGCUUUGUCUUCCAAAUUGGCUGAUAGCGAACCUCCUUUAACUCUAUACAAUGAACGUUAGAAUCUCCGCAGAAUAUAAAUUCAUUGGGAACCCGUGCGUUUGCCAUUUCUUCAAGUUCUUCCUAAUUCGUCAGAAAAUGACCGGUAUGUCCACCAAGCCUGUCAUGCACGUUAAGCCUGCCCCCUAGCCGAUCAUGUACUGAUGUUCUUCUCCUGAUCGGCUCAUUAAUGCGCCGAUUAUCAGUUUAGAAUCUCUGAUUUGAUCGAUCGUGUCAAUGAUAACCAUUGCGCUUAGGACAAUCUUGAAUAGUUCGUAGUUUAAUACCCCAUUCCCAGCAAUGAACAAAAAACAGACAAUCCCAAUGAUCCUUAUGCCGAUUCCACUCUUAUCGACGCCUCUCUUCCUCCUGACGUUGAUCUUCUUGCUGACGCUGAUACUGAUCUUCACGCUGUUGCCACUUCUCCUAUUAUCGUCUAUGAGUAAUUACUACACUAGAUCGGGGAGGGCAUCCAGAGCUGUUACCUUCCUUAAACAAACAUUUCUCUUUGGCGUCAUCGGUAGUUAUCUGAUGCUGGGGAUCUACCAAUGCGUUCUUCUCAGCAGUUUCUGAAGUCAAGACCUUAGUCUUACCCUUGGUGUCUAACAUGUUAGUGGGGAAAGGGUGCUGAUUAAUUUUCAUCUGCUUCUGAGUUUUGGAACAAUCAAAUUUAAUCCUCCCAGACUCUAUAGCCGAUUGCAACUGCUGCCUAAACACUUUACACUAAUUUGUACUGUGUGAAGUUGCAUUAUGCCAUUCGCAAUACUUAAUCUUUUUCAACUCCUCUGCCAAUGGAAUUACAUGAUUAGGCGACAAUUUAAUCUAUCCUUGCUAAAGCAAGAAAUCAAAUAUCCUAUCAGCUUUGGUGAUAUCAAAAGCAAAUUUCUCUGGUUCUUUUUGACCAAAAGGACAAGACAUCGGCUUCUUAUUCUUUACCCACUCUGCCAAUCCGAUGACUAGUUCUUCAUCAGAAUCAGAACUCCCUGCCUCAUCAACAAAUGAUACCUUUUUAUUCCAUGUUUUCCUAGGUUCAAAAACCUUGAUAUCUUGAUCAGAAAUCCUCUACACCAAAUGACUCAAACUUUCAAACUCUUGAGAAGCAUAUUUAUCUUUGAGAUGUGGCAGCAAUCCUUGAAAGGCCAAAUUAGCUAACUGCCGAUCAUCUAGAACCAGACUGUAACAUUUGUUCUUUACAUCCCACAACCUCUACACAAAGCUCUCCACCGAUUUAUCAUUACAUUGUCUUAACCUUACUAAAUCGGUAAUCUUCUUCUCAUAAACUCCAGAAAAGAAGUAUUUAUGAAAUUGCUUCUCUAGAUCGGCCCAGGUAAUGACUGAAUUUGGAGAUAAUGAAAUAAACCAGGUAAAAGCCGAUCCCGACAAAGAUGAUGAAAAUAAACGAACUCUUAAUUCAUCUCUGCUGGCAGCCUCUCCACAUUAAAUGAUGAACCGAUUGACAUGCUCCAUUGUUGAGGUAUCAUCUUGUCAAUAGAACUUAGUGAAAUCUAGUACCUUGUACCGAUUUGGGAGCGGAAUUAAAUCAUACACAGGAGGAUAUGGUGUCCGAUAAGAGUAAGUAUUAAUCUUGGGUUUUAUCCCAAACUGAUCUCUCAUAACUUCUACUAUCUUAUCAGCACAAUAAGCAUCAGCAUCUUGCCGAUGUACAGGUUGAACCUCUAGCACCUGUUGAUACGCUUCCAUGUUUCUCUAGGGUACACAGUCUCCAGCAAACAUCAUAUUAGCCAUAGCCUGUGGACCACCGAUCUGCUAAGCAAGAUUCAUCGGUUGAACCGCUGGUGCCUGAUUCUAAAAACUGACCUGCAUAUGACCCUAUUGUACUCCUGCAACCUAAUGAUUCUGCUGCGCCGUGUGUGGAAUGACCAACUGCCUUGUCCAACCAUUGCUGACGUUCAUCGGCACAAGUCCUGCCGAUGUCUAGUAAUUAGUUGUCAUUGCUGAAUUGACAUAACACCGGCCAUCUCCGACCGGUAGAGCGUCGGGAAAGAGCGGCUUAAGCACCAGUGAGUUAGCGCGGAGCUUUCUAGGUAGAAACGCCUAACCCCAAUGGCUCCGGUGAGCCUCCUCACGUGCGAGGUGCUCGUCGGCACUGAGCACGGCGGUGCGGCUGCCGUGUGUUGGGUAUUCUUAACAUCAUUACCAAAAGUAGACUAAGUUCUUUAAAUCUAGUAACGGUGCCAAAAAUGCCAAACCUAUCCCUCACACCACUUAAGCCAAGUUGUCAUCCCCAGCACGACAUGAGGGACGCGGUAUUGAAAUAUGCAAUUGCUCUUCUAAAUAAAUAAUGAAUGGGAUCUGCAAGCGCACAGAUUAAUACCAAUGCAGCAUUUUAAUCGGGAAGUAUCCCAGGUAUCGUUAUUUAUAUUUUUACCACUGGGAAGGGAUUAACAAUCAUCAAUAUUGAUUACAGAAUAGAAUAUGAGAUUGAGCAUCUACAAUUGCAUGUAUAAUUAGGAACAUUAUAUCUAACUCUUCAUACGGGGACAAGUGUCACAUAGAAGAUAUAUGAAAUAAUUAAUAGUGACAAGGAUAACUAAUCUGAUCUAGCCACAUAAUAAAUAUGAUAAGCACCUCAAUUAGAUACUCUAGAAAGUCAUUAGCAUGGUAUUAGAACGAACUACAAGAAUAUUCCCUAAGUUAUUCUCAACUAUAUAGUUUAGCAUUAUCAUAGUUAGUGCAAGCAUACUGUUGACGGUCCUUAAUGCUCACAUUUAACCAUCAACUAAUCAUGGAAAAGGAUCCAAAUGCAACCAACACCUAGACUUAGGGUUUUAUCUGACAGAAUUCCACGAGUUUUGGUGUUUGUCUAUUUCUGCAGGGGGUUAUCAGGAAUUAUGGAAGAAAGGCCCACACGUCGGGUUUACAUAGAGAUAUUAACGUGCCGCGCAAUUUUCUACCAUCUAGAAGACUCCAGAAGCCACGGGAACGAACGGGAGGCCGAUCGGGCUCGGAGGCAGGGCGCCCACCCAACUCUCCUGGGCGCCCGCCCAGCUACAGUGUCCAAUUCGGACCCGUUUCGCGUAUUAUGCUCCACCGACCUAAUACUUCAAGGAAAACCACACGAUCAAUGUCGGUUUGAUCCGACGGCCCAGAUUCGCUUGAAGGGACUAUAAAACCAGACCCCCCUGGCCCCUGGAGAUCAUACCUCUUCUACAGAAUCAAAGCUAGGGUUUCAAUUCUUCAUCCAAGUAGAGAGGAUCCCUCUAGUUCUUCUAGUUCUACCUCUAGUUCAUCUAGAUCUAGUUCUAGUUCAUCUAGUUCUAGUUCUAGUUCCUCUAGUUCUAGUUCUAGUUAGUUCUAGUUGUAAUCUAGAAAAUAGGGAGAGAGAAGAGGAGAGCGGAGGAGGAGGAGCCGGAUCUGUCGGAUCUUCCUCAACAUUGUACUUUUGCAGCAACUGGUUCGUUCUUCAUCGUUCUCCAGGUUCUUCAAUUCAUAAUCCUGAGUUCUUUAAUUACUUUUCUUUACAUUCAAGUUAUUUAUUGGAUUCCCGCUUGCAUCAAGUGCUCUAAUCUUUGCAACAUUAGAGUAGUAAUUAAUAGAUUAGACGUGGUGUUUAGUCUUUCAAUUACCUGGAAUUGCACCCAAUCCUGCGGAUUGUUGUGGUAGCCCUAGGGUAGUGACAGCCCUAACGGUCGACGUAUUCCACCUCGUUCGGAUCGGUGUUUGUAGGACCGUAGUCAGACCUUCCUAGCCCCCUUCUCAUCUCUUUCUGUGGUUAGUGCUCUGAUGUCCCGAUAUAGAUAAUCUUGAAGUAAUUCUUGAUUCUUAGAUCAACUAGAGAACUCUCAGGAAACUUCCUCUCUUCCCACCAAAAAUAGUUAUAUAGUUAUCCUGGGGUGAUCUUGGAUCUUAAUUAGUACACUCACGUUCCCUGUGGAAAAUCGAUACUCUGGAAUACUCCCGGGUGAAGGCUACAUCGGUAUCCGUGUGCUUGCGGAUUUUUUCUGUUUGCGUUUAAAAUACCCAACAAGCUUUCUGGCGCCGUUGCCGGGGAACGGUAGCUGUGCUAGUUUCAAACCAAGUCGUCCGUGUAUCCUUUUUCCUUUCCUUUUUACCACACUCACCUUACCAUUUUUACCACACCACAUGGAUUUCACUCCUAUCUAUAAAUUCUUUGCUCCAAAGGGCGAGUUAUUAGAGCCACCACCAUCAUCACAUCCAAUUCUUACAGAUGGAUACGACCUCGGCCCUGAUCUAAUAGCCAUGAUUCAGGAGCAACCCUUCUCUGGGCAAGUAGAUGAAGAUCCAUACACCCACCUUAGAGAAUUCGAGCAGUUGUGCUCUUGUCGAUCUAUUUCUGGCAUGACACAAGAAACCCUUAAAUGGAAAUUAUUUUCGUUCUCCCUUUUGGGAAGAGCAAAAAAGUCGUAUGCUCAUUCUGUAGGAGGCGUUAAUGGAAAUUGGGACGAACUUCGGGACAACUUUUGUCUCGCUUUCUUCCCACUCUUUCGAAUCGCUGACCUUAGAAUCGAAAUUCUUACAUUCAAACAAAGAGAGAAGGAAACUUUAGGAGCAGCUUGGGCUAGGUUCACAAGCCUUACCAAUUCUGGUCCAAACCUUUCCAUGCCUGACCAUGUACUGUACUACCACUUCUAUCGUGGUCUAAACAAGGAAGCUGCUCUUCACCUCGACAUUGCUUCAGGAGGCUCAUUCACACACAAACUCACAGAUGAGGGGAGAGCCAUCCUAGAAAGAAUCCUUGAAAAUACCCCUUACACAGGCAUUUAUGAUGAGUUUCCUGAAGAAGAAAAAGAAGUCGAGCCGAAUCCUAAACCAAAAGAUGAGGAACUUGCAACCGAGUUACAAAUUCCACCUGACCCAUCUAUCAAUUUGGUUGUAGAGAAACCUCCUGAUAAGGGAAUGCAAAACCAACUAAAGGAUGAUGAAUCACCACCUUUAGAGCAUCCCUUUGAAUUCGAGGAAGAUCUUUUUGAAGAUUAUGGAAACACCUCGAAUUUUCCUAUCCAAACACGACCUCUAGCAGGGACCACUCAAUCAAUUCUAAGAGUAGAAUCUGUUGACAUAGAACACAUCAAAAACCUAUCAGCUAUUCUGAGUUACGAAUGGCUAACAGAAGCAGAGCUGUCUCCUGAGGUAGCUCGGAUCACUCCUUCAACCAUUCUUCUGUGCCAAAUUAGAGGGUCCCCUAGGAAGGUCCACUAUAAUCCAUAUGUUGGGAUAAAUGUUAUUUCCAAGGAGUUAGCUGACACUCUUUGUCCCAACGAGUCCAUAACCCCAUCUCAAAAACUUUUACAAAGUCCAUCUGGAUUAAUUCUAGAAAGCCAUGGGGUAUUAAGGGCAGUUCCUGUUAGAAUCAAGGACUCUGGAAUAUGUCUAGAUUUCCACAUUUUUGACAUAUCGGAGAUUCCUCUCUUGAUUGGUAGACCAAUCAUGAAACUUCUACAAGAACAACCACAACGAGGUCAUUUAGACUUCAAAGCUGGGAAUUCCACUAUUGUUGUUCCUCUAGCUAGAUCAAUUAACACGAUAGUGGAACCCAAACUUGACCCAGAUCCUAUUGAGGAGAUCUUAAUGGUGACUCAAGAGGAGAUGACCCAACCAUUCUUUAAUCAUGAACACUUUGUUCAAGAAGAAGAAGAGUUGGUAGAACCCGUUGAGCUAGAUAAAAAUGAACAACCUUCACCUCCUUCGAUAGAGUUAAAACCUCUUCCUUCUGGCCUUAGAUAUGUCUUUUUGCACAACAACCCAAAAACUCCAGUAAUUAUCAGUGACAAGAUUUCCGAUUAUGAAACACAACAACUUGUCACUGUUCUUGAAAGGCAUAGAUUAGCAUUUGGCUACUCUCUCGAAGAUCUCACGGGCAUUAGUCCCAUUCUCUGUACUCAUCGUAUCCCUAUUGAUCCCAAUUCUACACCUUCAAGGGAACCACAAUGGAGACUUAACAAUGCUAUGCGAGAGGUUGUUAAGAAAGAGGUCCUCAAACUCUAUCGUGCUGGGAUUAUUUAUCCUGUGCCACAUAGUGAGUGGGUUAGCCCUGUCCAAGUAGUGCCAAAGAAAGGAGGAAUGACGGUCGUUAGGAAUGAGAAGAAUGAACUCAUCCCUCAACGAAUUGUCACUGGGUGGCGUAUGUGUAUUGACUAUCGAAAACUCAAUAAAGCUACAAAGAAAGAUCACUUUCCGUUACCCUUCAUUGAUGAAAUGUUGGAACGGCUUGCAAACCACUCUUUCUUUUGUUUCCUUGAGGGUUAUUCUGGAUAUCACCAAAUCCCAAUCCACCCAGAUGACCAAGAAAAGACUACCUUUACAUGCCCGUAUGGAACUUAUGCAUACCGACGAAUGUCGUUCGGAUUGUGCAAUGCUCCAGCUUCUUUCCAACGGUGCAUGAUGUCUAUUUUCUCGGACAUGAUUGAGAAGGUCAUGGAGGUUUUCAUGGAUGAUUUUACCGUCUAUGGCAAAACCUUCGAUCAUUGUUUGGAGAAUUUAGAUAAAGUCUUGCAGCGAUGUGAAGAAAAACACUUAAUCCUGAACUGGGAGAAAUGCCAUUUUAUGGUUCAGGAAGGAAUAGUGCUAGGACAUAAAGUGUCCGAACGUGGUAUAGAAGUGGACAAAGCAAAGAUUGAAGUUAUUGAAAAACUUCCACCUCCCACGAAUGUGAAAGGAAUCCGUAGCUUUUUGGGACAUGCAGGGUUCUAUAGACGCUUUAUCAAGAAUUUCUCUCAAAUUGCUAGACCCCUAACUAAUCUCCUAGCUAAGGACGCACCUUUCAUCUUUAGUGAUGAGUGUCAUGAAUCUUUUCAAACUCUUAAGAAAUCACUCAUCUCAGCCCCGAUUAUCCAACCACCUGAUUGGAAUCUUCCUUUUGAGAUCAUGUGUGAUGCUAGCGAUUUUGCGGUUGGUGCCGUUUUAGGACAAACCAAGGAUAGAAAGCAUUAUGCUAUAUCCUACGCUAGCAAAACCUUGUCUGGACCACAGCUCAAUUACACUACAACUGAAAAAGAGCUUUUGGCUGUUGUCUUUGUUAUAGACAAGUUUAGAUCUUACUUAGUGGGGGCAAAGAUAAUCAUCUAUUCAGACCAUACUGCUCUCAAGUACCUCCUCACUAAGAAAGAUGCUAAGCCUCGUCUAAUUCGAUGGAUUCUUCUACUCCAAGACUUUGACAUAGAAAUCCGAGAUAGGAAGGGAGUUGAGAAUUCUGUAGCUGACCACUUAUCUAGGCUUCAAUAUAAGGAAACACAUGAUGAGCUUCCCAUAAAUGACUACCUAAGGGAUGACACCCUACUUAAGAUAACACAUGCAGAUCCAUGGUACGCAGACAUCGUAAACUUUAUAGUAAAAGGCUAUGUCCCACUUGGUGCAAACAAAAGGAAGUUGCUUCACGAUAGUCGUUUCCACCUUUGGGAUGAGCCAUAUCUUUUCCGAGUCUGCGCUGAUGGACUCUUGAGAAGGUGUGUUCCUAUGGCUGAGGCUACUCAAAUUAUGGAAAGAUGCCAUGCCUCGCCAUAUGGAGGACACUAUGGUGCAUUCCGGACACAUGCUAAAAUUUGGCAAAGUGGUUUUUUCUGGCCAACGAUGUAUGAAGAUACAAAGGACUUUGUCAGGAGAUGCCACCGAUGUCAAAAACAUGGGAAUAUCAACUCACGAAAUGAAAUGCCUCUCACAAAUAAUCUUCAAGUAGAACUUUUCGAUGUAUGGGGCAUUGAUUUCAUGGGACCAUUCCCUAUGUGUGGGAAUUGUGAGUAUAUCUUAGUAGCUGUGGACUACGUGUCUAAAUGGGUAGAAGCCCUACCUUGUCGAUCAGCUGAUUCAAAACAUGCCAAGAGAAUGUUUCAUGAAGUAAUCUUUCCUCGCUUUGGUAUACCCCGGAUAGUUAUAAGCGAUGGAGGUUCCCACUUCAUCGACAAACUCUUCCGGAAAUACCUAGCCGAUCAUGGAGUUCGACACAACGUCGCAACACCAUACCAUCCUAAGACUAGCUGUCAAGCCGAAACAUCUAACAAACAAAUCAAAAAUAUUUUACAAAAGACCGUAGAUGAGAUGGGUAAGGGGUGGAAGGAAAAACUUCCUGAUGCACUUUGGGCAUAUAGAACUGCAUUCAAAACACCCAUAGGCAUGUCACCUUAUCAACUUGUAUAUGGAAAAACUUGUCACUUGCCUGUGGAAGUAGAGUUUAAGGAUCAUUGGGCACUCAAGAAAUGGAACAUGGAUCACCACCUUGCUAGCGAGAAUCGUCUGAUGCAACUAUCUGAGCUAGAAGAAUGGAGAGAGAAAGCCUACCACAAUUCAAGGAUCUAUAAAGAGAGAACAAAACGAUGGCAUGAUAAGAGAAUCAAGCACAAGGAGUUUAAGCCUGGAGAUAAGGUUCUACUAUUCAAUUCAAGAGUUAAGUUCUUUGGGCAUGGUAAGCUACGAAGUAAGUGGGAUGGACCAUACAAGGUUAUUGACACUUCAACACAUGGAGCCAUUACCAUCCAAGACGACAUAGGUAACACUUUUAAGGUAAAUGGUCAACGCUUGAAAAUCUAUCUUGAGCCUCAAAACAACCGGGUAGAGGAACUUGAUGUGAUUGAGUUCAUAGAAUUCUCACAUUAAGCUCUCAUAAGCUCUAGACAAUUACCUAACCCUUAACAUGUUCCACAAGUUUUGUUGUCUAUUUGGGUUGUGCAGGAUUUUGAGGCUUAAGAAGAGUGAGACCGAACAUGCAGGCCAUAAGAGUGAUCGACUAUGUCAACAUCCAGCUUGGGGGAGGCACUCCCACGUGUAUCUAGAUAAGUAUUACUUUUCUUUCUUGGUUUUAUUUACUAGUAUUUGGAAAUAAAUUUAAAAAAAUGCAUAACCAUGAAACCAAACAAAGUUUUUCUUUUGAGUAAUAUACAAUAGUUUUGUGUAAUACUAAGUUUUAAAUAAAAUAAAAAGAAAGUUUGAUUCAAGUCAAGGUAAUUGACAAACAUGAUAUGAGAAGGUCUGAGCUACUAUUUAACUUGUUCCAAGUUUUGCUAGAGUUCUGGAGAUUUUAUCUUUUGAAAAUCUAAAAAUUCAUAAAAAAAAUAUAUGAGAUCAUAAUACCUAGAGUCUUAUAAGAUAUAAAUAUUAAAAUUGUGGGCACUUGCUUUGUUCAAGCCAUUGUUAAUUCUUGUAGUUUUGGUUGAGAGAAUUAUCAUGCUCCCAAGAUCAAGAUCUUUUUGUUUUAAAAUAUAAAAGAUUCACUCUUCCGAAGUAUUAUUGCGUUAGAGGCAUGGGACUAUGCAAAAAUUUGAUUCGAAAAAAAAAAGAGUGAGACGAGAGGUAAAAAUGGACAAGUGUCCGAAGUAGAAUUAGGGGUACAAAGAUACCCACCUGAGUGGAAAAAAAUGGACAUGUGUUCGACAGUAGAAUUAGGGGUACUUGCUGCCCACUUGAAAAAAAAGAAGACUGAAAAAAAGAGAAAAAGGAAAAAAAAGGAGAAAAAAAAAUGAUAGCCCAUGGUCCCUCUAAUAAGCAAUAUGCCAGUAAGAGAUGACAAACUUUUCAAAAAGGUCAAAGGUCUUGAUCUAAGAGUAUGACAUUCCUCUCCCUUGCUCCGAGCAUUGACAUAGCAAAAUGCAAAUUAUGUAUGCUAAAACUUUUAAAGCUCUACUUAUAUAUAUCUUUCGAGAAGAAGGCAAUGCCUCAGUUUCAUUUUGCAGACUUAUAAAAAAACUCCAGAACAAAGGUAAGACAGAAGAACUUGAGACAUAGUGCUUGACUUGAUCAUUCUGUUUUUCAAUCACUUAAGACCUUAGUGAUAACUUAAAAACCCUAUAGUAAGAGGCAUAAAAGUAACCCCUGUUUUCUUGUUGAUUUUAGCUUUGCUCAGGGACGAGCAAAGGUUAAGCUUGGGGGAGCUUGUUGACGGUCCUUAAUGCUCACAUUUAACCAUCAACUAAUCAUGGAAAAGGAUCCAAAUGCAACCAACACCUAGACUUAGGGUUUUAUCUGACAGAAUUCCACGAGUUUUGGUGUUUGUCUAUUUCUGCAGGGGGUUAUCAGGAAUUAUGGAAGAAAGGCCCACACGUCGGGUUUACAUAGAGAUAUUAACGUGCCGCGCAAUUUUCUACCAUCUAGAAGACUCCAGAAGCCACGGGAACGAACGGGAGGCCGAUCGGGCUCGGAGGCAGGGUGCCCGCCCAACUCUCCUGGGCGCCCGCCCACCUACAGUGUCCAAUUCGGACCCGUUUCGCGUAUUAUGCUCCACCGACCUAAUACUUCAAGGAAAACCACACGAUCAAUGUCUGUUUGAUCCGACGGCCCAGAUUCACUUGAAGGGACUAUAAAACCAGACCCCCCUGGCCCCUGGAGAUCAUACCACUUCUACAGAAUCAAAGCUAGGGUUUCAAUUCUUCAUCCAAGCAGAGAGGAUCCCUCUAGUUCUUCUAGUUCUACCUCUAGUUCAUCUAGAUCUAGUUCUAGUUCAUCUAGUUCUAGUUCUAGUUCCUCUAGUUCUAGUUCUAGUUAGUUCUAGUUGUAAUCUAGAAAAUAGGGAGAGAGAAGAGGAGAGCGGAGGAGGAGGAGCCGGAUCUGUCGGAUCUUCUUCAACAUUGUACUUUUGCAGCAACUGGUUCGUUCUUCAUCGUUCUCCAGGUUCUUCAAUUCAUAAUCCUGAGUUCUUUAAUUACUUUUCUUAACAUUCAAGUUAUUUAUUGGAUUCCCGCUUGCAUCAAGUGCUCUAAUCUUUGCAACAUUAGGGUAGUAAUUAAUAGAUUAGACGUGGUGUUUAGUCUUGCAAUUACCUGGAAUUGCACCCAAUCCUGCGGAUUGUUGUGGUAGCCCUAGGGUAGUGACAGCCCUAACGGUCGACGUAUUCCACCUCGUUCGGAUCGGUGUUUGUAGGACCGUAGUCAGACCUUCCUAGCCCCCUUCUCAUCUCUUUCUGUGGUUAGUGCUCUGAUGUCCCGAAAUAGAUAAUCUUGAAGUAAUUCUUGAUUCUUAGAUCAACUAGAGAACUCUCAGGAAACUUCCUCUCUUUCCACCAAAAAUAGUUAUAUAGUUAUCCUGGGGUGAUCUUGGAUCUUAAUUAGUACACUCACGUUCCCUGUGGAAAAUCAAUACUCUGGAAUACUCCCGGGUGUAGGCUACAUCGGUAUCCGUGCGCUUGCGGAUUUUUUCUGUUUGCGUUUAAAAUACCCAACACAUACUUAGCAAUCAUUGUGAGACAAGACUACGCCCAUGCAUAGUGAUAUUAGCAAGGUAAAUGAGAAACAUAGCAAUCACU